Molecule: long non-coding RNA, 50704 nt
Filed under: Lupinus angustifolius (narrow-leaved blue lupine)
Lineage: Eukaryota; Viridiplantae; Streptophyta; Magnoliopsida; Fabales; Fabaceae
Description: long non-coding RNA (LANG_LNC002692)
Source: RNAcentral
AUGUUAAAAAUACGUGUCACCCAUCUUUUAAAACUACAAUUAUGGUCUACCCCAUAAAUUAUGAAUUGAGAUUUUCUAUCUCAUUUAUGUAUGUCCAAUUUAUUAUUACUUAUGAUUUUGACAAAUUUAUAUAAAAUUAAUUUUUAAAUUAACAGUGUUACAUAUUAUAGUAUUUGAUUUAUUAAGAAUAGAACGAUAAAAUUAUUUUGCCACGUAUGGUUUAUGAUAAUAAAUUAGAAGAGAGGUCGAAUAAAACUCUUAAAUUCAAUACUCUUUAGAGUGUAUUGGUGAAUUAGUUAUUGGAUAAUAAUAAAUAGAAUAAAAAGCUUCUAUAUCAUGAAAUAUAUUUUUGAGAUAAUUUUCAAGUUAUCUUUUUAUUUUUAUUUUACUUUAAAAACCAACUCACAAAUAUACCUCUAAAAAUAAGUACGAAACCAUUAUUUAAUACUUGGACAUUGUAUUGGUAACUAAAGCAUAGUCAGCUCUAGCCUAGGUGACCUAAUAUUGGUGUAAUCACAGUUUCUCAACAUUAAUAAUUUUAAUUUUACAUCAACUAAUGCAAUACAAUCAUCACUAUAAUCAACAAAAUAUUAAACAAAAUUAUAUGUACAGUGUGAUAAUUAAUAACAAACAAUAAUUUCAAAAUGAAAUUGAAUGAAUUUUUUAAUAUAAAAUAAAGACCUAAAAAAAUGGUAGUAUAGGUAAAACAAUUAAUAAGGUCUCACUUAGUUAGUUCCUUUUCAGCCCACUUGAUGUACUAAAUGGUGGGGGAAUGGGUGAGUCGGAGAAGAUGAGUGAGUAAAUGAGAGAGGAUAAGUAUUAAAGAUAUAUGAUAUGUUAUUUUGGAAGAUGAUAGUUAGUUAGAAAGUUAGGAAUUAGCAAGUUAUGUUUAUGUUAAUUAUUUGCUUUACAAGCUUUCUUUUCAUUCUUUUCUCUUGUAUAAAUAAGUCAUAUUGACUCACUUUUUAUUCAAUUAAUUCAAUUCAUUCAAUGAUAAUAUUAUAAAUCUUUCUUUCUCAUUCUUCUUUCUUUAAGCUUUCUUUUAUACACAUCUUGAUUCAUCAAGAAGCUUUCUUUUCAUGGUUUUUACCACAUUUUAACAUGAUAUCAGAGCGUAAAUAUUCAAUCGCUUCCGCUUAUGCUUUUAUCAUUCCAAGAUUCAAGAAAGAAUCAUCAUCAUGCAUCAAUCAUCAAACUGAGGAAUCUUGCAUAUGGCUAAGGAUGGUGAUGAUCAUAGCGUAAAUUAAUGGGGUAUAGGUGGACUACCUUGUUGAAGUAGUGCAACUUCUUUUUCAUCCUCUUUAAUCACCAUUGUUGACUCCUCAAAACCAUCAAGAAGGCCAUCAAGAAUACUCAUUAUUCUCUCAAACUGUACCAUUAAUGCUCUGUUCUUCUUCUUUCAAAUGCACAGAUUCAUCAUUGAUCUUCACCCGAGACCUGGUUGCUUAUGUUCAAUGAGGUCUUUUACAAGGAAAAUGCUUCUGAUUAUGGCUCCAUCAUUCCAAGAUUCAACAUUUAUCAUCAUUCAUCAUCAAUUUAUCAUAUACAAGAUUACAUCAUUUGUUUAUUCUUCAUCAUUUACCCAUCUUUCUUAUUCAUCAUAGAAGCAUCUCAUUAGGAUCAAGAUUAUGAUCUGUUCUCCCUCUUUCAUCAUCAAUGGUUAGUUCGCUUCUGUCCAUGAUGGUUAAGUUCAGACAUAACUUCUGUCAUGGAUGGUUAAGCAUUGGAUGGGUAGCUUCUGCCCAUAGUGGUUAAGCAAAGAUAUAGUUUCUACUAUGGAUGGUUAAGCGUUUGAUGAUAUAGUUUCUGCCAUAGGUGGUUAAGCGUCUGAUGAUAUAACUUCUGUCAUAGGUGGUUAAGCGUUAUUAUUACUUCAAAUCAAUUCCAAGCUGGAGAGUGAAAAUUUUCACUCACCAGCUUGAGGGGGGAUAUUAAAGAUAUAUGAUAGGUUAUUUUGGAAGAUGAUAGUUGGUUAGAAAUUUAGGAAUUAACAAGUUAUGUUUAUGUUAAUUACUUGCUUUACAAGCUUUCUUUUCAUUCUUUUCUCUUCUAUAAAUAAGUCAUAUUGACUCACUUCUUAUUCAAUCAAUUCAAUUCAUUCAAUCAGGGGCGGAGCUAUGAAGGGACAGGAGAGGGCAGCUGCCCCUGGAUUUUUUUAUUUUAUUUUUUGAAUACUUUUUUUUACUAUUUUCUUAUGGGGAUAUAUUUGUUGUCUCAAAAAGUGUGUCACUUCAUGUAUCAUUUGGCCUAAAAAAUACUUAAAUAUUAAACUUUUAAAUUAUAAAAUGUGACACAUAGAGUAUUACAUACUUUUUGGAGCAGAUGUACUCCCUUUACCUAUACCUGACUAACGUCUUUAUGGACAUACUUCGAGUUCACAUAUUUAUUUAAUUUGUAGCUUGAUAAAUAAAUAUAGUACAACUUGUGUGGUUCUUUUAAAAAUUAUAUAUAAUUGAUCAAGUUCUCUUAUACAUUUAGAUGUUGAUGUUGUUUAUAACAAUAUAACUUCAUUUGAGUUCAUAAUGAUCUUACACUUGAUGAAAGAUAUUAUGUGUGUAUUAAAAUAUAUUCUAAGGAUACUUAUAAGUCAUUUAAUAUUGAUAAUAUAUAUAUUUUUUGUCCAAAUUUUUUAUCCAACGAAUUUUAAUGAGCAAUGAAGAUUAGUUUAAAAUCUCAAUAUCGAUAUUUUAUUUCUGGUGUCGUUAGCCAAUCAAGUUUGAUAAAAUUUCUAUCAUAUGUCGUUAGUCAUAUCUUGCAUUAUCAAAUAAUUCGUCUUAUUUUAUCAAUUGUGAUUUUUAACAUAUAUCGUUAGUCAUAUAUUGAAUUAUCAAGUAGUUCAUCUUGUUUUAUCUUGUAAAGACUAUAUUGAUUUAUAUUUUAAAGGAAAUAGUUAAAAUUUUAUCUUUGGCGUCCCUGUAUAUAUUUUUGUUAUUCAAUUAAUUUUAAUUAUAAAUUGUAAUUAAAUAUCAUCGCCUCUCCUAAAAUUUUGAUCAAGAUCCGUCACUGCAUUCAAUGAUAAUAUUAUCAAUCUUUGUUUCUCAUUCUUUUUUUUAAGCUUUCUUUUAUACACUUCCUGAUUCAUCAAUGAUUGUAAGUGAUUUUAAGAUAGUGAGAAUUGGGUUUUAGAGGGGGUGGGGGGUAGAUUUGAAAAUUUCAAAGAGGGAUGGGAUGUGUAUUUUCCAUUAAUACAAAUCAACAAUUUCUUGCAUAUUCACAUUUUAAUGUUGAAAUAGAAGUGGAUGCCUCAAAAGUAAAUAUAUUCCCUCCAUAUUUUCUGUCGAUUUCAAACAAUUUUAUAGCUAAACUUAAAUUUAACGUUUUAUUAUAUAGAUAAAUUAUUCAAUAUGCUAGAUCCUCUCUUUUAUUAAAGAAAUGGGAGGGUCUGAACUCUUAUAUUAUUUUAAUUUUGUAUCCUUUUGAGGUUGCUUAAUUGAACCCCACCCUACGUAUCAAACCCACUGUUUUCAGUGGAUUAUUCGAACACUAUAUGAAUGUGUCCAUAACAAAGUUAGUGAUAAUAAAUACAUUUAAUUUAUGGAACUUGUUCUUUUAAAUCUGAAUUAAUCCCAUUAAUUUUAAAUAAAAGAUAUCCCUCAUAAUACACUUUUUCAUUUUUUCUCCGCCAAAUUUUUUGUGUACUCAUCAUAAAAAAUCAUUUUUGAUAAAAAAAGUAUGAACUCUGAGCUAAUCUAACUCGUUCUAUAUUUAACUGAUGAGAAGUAUGGAUUAGAUGAGCCACAUUAAAAUCAAUUCAAAAUUUUUAUGAGUCAAUAUAUAACGAGCUGAAUUUGAGCUUAUGAUAAGAUCGACUAGCUCGCACAUCAAAUCAUAUCUUGACAUCUCUGGUGAAGAUACAACUACACCAACAAGGUACCCACUUCCCCACCACCUUUCCUAGUAAGGUACAUCUUAGAACAAACUACCCUACCACAUUGACUAGUCACUUCAUUGCUAGUGUGCUAAACUCUACUUGAUAUGGGAUUUUAUUUAAAGCAAACCUUGAACGCUUUAAGUGUUUUCAAUGCUCUUUUUAGAACAUUCAUUCCAUAUUUUAACCAUAUCUUCAAUGCAAAUGUCUUAUAAAAUUAUUUUUUGGAUAAUAAAUCUACUUAAAAAGUUAGAAAUCCGUUAUCCCAGGAUCAAAAGCAAAAAUAGAUGAAGUUAUUUUGAAAGUAUAAUUAAACUUAUGGUAUUAUUUAACAAUUAGAAGAAGUAUGGUAAAAAUACAAUCUUGUCAAAAAUACAAUAAACCAAUACUUACUUCAUUAAUUUUGGUAUAUAUUGAAUAUUAGUUUUUCUUUUAUAAUUACAUGUGUCCCAUUUAUUAAAGUAACCAACAGUUAAUUGAGUAUGUCUAUAAUACUUAUGGAUCUCAUCGUGUUUGCUGCUAAAUAUAAGUUUCCAUUAAUGUGUCUUCAUUAUGUUCAACAAUUGGCUAAGAGAAUCAAUAAUUAACUGAUGUGCAUAACAUCCGAGAAAAAUCACUCCUACAAAAAUUGCUAAAAUAUACUUUUUCAUCAUUCAUCUAUGUUGAAAACUUUUCAAAAAUAGGAAUGAGGGUGGUGGACUCGAAAAAAUUGAGGGUCGAAAAACGUAUUCAAGCCUAAUUAAAAUCAAUGAUGAAAAAUUAAGUAAAAUAGACAAUACAACUAGAAAUUAACAAACUAGUUAUGUUUUGUGGGAAAAAAAUACAUGUUUUAUAUAUAUAUAUAUAUAUAUAUAUCUUAUAUAUUAUCAUCGCAUCAUCUACGAUUAAUAUAUAAUUAUUAUUCACACUUCAAAAAAAUUAAUUCAAAUAAAUUGCAGAUGAUGUAAUGAUUAUGUAUUAAUUUUUAUACUAAAAGUGCAUAUACACUACACAAAACAAAACGAACAAGUAAAAAAAUUAAAAAAUAAUUGUUUUACCUAAGCAUUGAUGAACAACUAGCAAAUUAUUCGUGCAUUCGCACGAGACAAUAUUUUUGCUGGAUAAUCAUAUUAUAUGUACAUUUACAUGGUGAAGAAUACACAUGUUACUCGUGCAUUUGUUAAAAAUAGAUAUGUUACAUGUGCACUCUAUUAUUAAGAACAUACAUGUGAACCGUGCAAUCGCAUGGUUAAAAACACAUAUGUUAGUCGUACAUUCAUAUUAUGAAGAAAACAUAUGUUGCUCGUAUAUUCGCACAGUUAAAACACACAUGUUACAUAUUAUCUGUAUAUUUACAUUGUUAAGAACAUAAGUGUUACCUAUGUGUUUGCAUGUUCAAACACAUAAGAGAAAUAAAUGACAAUUUCGAAUUUGAAUUUCUAAUGAAAAUAUGAGACUGAAACAUGAUUCUAUGUGAUUUUUUUUAAAUAAAAUAUUUUAAAAGUUGUAGAGAAUGAAAUUAUUUUUUCAAUUUCAUAUAUGAUAAUAGAAAAAUCAAAUUGUGAUACCAUAUAGGUCUUUUCUUGUUAAAAAUAUAUUUACAAGUUAUAAAAACUUCAUUUUCGAAUUUGAUUUUUUAGUUAUAAUAGAGAAAAAAUAAAAUUCAAAGAAUUUGAACUAUGAUAUUAAAAUUCAAUCAAAAAAGUAUCACAAAACUUCGAUAAGUGAAAAGUACAAUAAUUCUUAGACUAAUAUGAAACAUUAAAUAAUAUAGAUAGAUUAAUGCAAACAAAUAGUCUGGAUGUAAAAAAAGAUUUUAAUCUCAUCUAAUGUUCAAUAAUUAUUACUUUUUAACGUAACAAAACAUAUGAGCCAAUCACUAAUUAGCAUUAAAUUAUUAAAAUACAAUAUGUAUAAAAAUAAGGAUGUAAUGUGAGAAAGUACAUAGUAGUAGAUAGAACCUUUUAGGAGGAAAAAAGACUAGAAGGAAGGUCAUAUUAAUAGGGAUGGAGAUCGCUUGUCCCAAAUGGUGUUUCACUCCAUGUCCUAAGUCAAUCAGAAUGCUCUAUUUUAUUACUUUUUGCUUUUAAAUUUUUUAUUUUAUCAAUAUGUUAAUAUAUGAUUGUCUAGAAAUAAGAAAUGAGACAAUGUUAAAAUGAGAUGAUUCUCAUCCAUACUAAUAGUCUACAACGAUAGUAUGUUGCUAAAUGCUACUUGUUGUCAUCGAAAGAAAAAAAAGCAAUGUCAAUUGCUUCAAUAAUCCUGAAAACUAACAAUGAAACUAAUCAAUCCAUAAUGGCUUUCACGCAUUAAUCAAUCUAGUCCCAAACCAAACUAUUAGACAUGCGUGCAUUGGGCGUGAUGACCCCACAAGCUUGCAUUUGUUGUACUUACUUGAGUGUUAAUGAGAAAAAACUUUUUCAUCCCUAUUCAUACUUAGUAGAAUUCACUUUUUUCACAUGUUAAACACAUACUCAACUAACCUUAUUCCCUUAACGGGUAGUUUAUAAAAAAAGUGACACAUUUAACCAUAUGUUACUUUAUAAUUUUGUUAAAUUUAUCAUACUCUAAAUCAAUCUCAUACUUAUACCUAUAUUGUAAAGAUUUAUCAUCUAUUAUUCAUUUGAUUUUUUUUAAUAAUCAAUAUGAUUAGAUAUGAAUGAUAUAAUAAUAAUGUAUAAAACUCAUAUAUUGUUGGUACAUACAUUUUUUCGCGGUUUAUAAAAAUAUGACACAUGUAAGUAUAUGUUCCAUUAUAAUUUAUUAAAUUUAUCAUAUUUUAAAUCAAUAUGCUAUAUACAUAUAUAUUUAUAUUUGUAACUUCAUCUUAUAAUAAAAAGAGUGUAAUAUUUAUAUAUAAUCAAUACAUCACCUACAGUUUAUUUGUAUUACUUUUUAAAGAGUCAAUAAUAAUUAAACAUAAAUAAUAGAAGUAGAAGUGACAAAGUACAAAACUCAUACUCAUUCGGUACAUAUUUUUCUCUCCCUUUAUAGUUUUUUAAGAGUAAAUAGUAAUGAAACAUAAAUGAAUAAUAAUACAAUAAAAACAUAUAAAGCUCAUACAAAUGCAUUUUUUCUAAAGAAAAAGAAUUUUUUUUGAACAUAACCUCCUUCCUUAGGCAAAGAAGGGAAGAUCCAAAUCCAAUAACCCAAAAACACUAAACCCGUUCAACCUCUAUUUGUUCCCUCACUCCUUCUCUUCAUAUAUAAACUUGUAUACGUUUCCCGGCCACUUUCCCAAACACAAACCUUUCAUGUGAUUCACUAUUCUCACUUUUUCCCUCACAAUUCCUUCACCUCUAUUUCCUUCUCUUUUCUCUCUUUCUUCUCUUCCCUCCAUUUUCUCUCUUUCUUUCUUCCCUUCUUCUUCAGGUAAAUGGUGUUGUUGGGUUUUGCCGAAGACAGAGUUCCGAUUCCGGUGCCGGCGUACAUGGCCACCACUCCCAAGAGAUCAAAUCGUCUUCACAAUUUCACGUUACCUUCUUCUUUGAAGUGGGGCAGCCAGAGGUAUCUGCGGUGCGCUAACUCUUCCGCCGCCGCGCACGCCGAAGCCGAAGCUUCCGGAAGCAGAGAUCGCCGAUCCCCUGCGUCGUGGUCCGACGACUCCACCGCGAACUGGAUGAUGGAAUUUAAGACGGAGAGGAACGUUAGGAGUUCGAGGAUGCGGAAACCGCGAAUUGACGGCGGCGACGGCGAUAACGAUGAAGGGAUCGACGCGGUGAGGAAGAAGCUCGUGCUUGAUCUGAAGACCGCUGCGGAGAAAAUGAAAGACGAGAUUUUGAGGAAGGAGGUGGAGGAUGAAGAAAAAGAAGAAGAGCGGGAAUCUUCACCGCCGCCACCGCCAGCGGAGCAAGCGAGGCCGUGGAACCUUAGGACGAGGCGGCGGGAAGAGAUUAAACCGUUUUUCUCUGCCGUAGGUAACGGAAAAAGAUUGAAGAUUGAAGAGAAGAAACCGAAUUCUUCAUCGCCACUGAGAAAUAACACUAACUGUAACGGUAACGGUAACAGUGGUGGUGCGGUGAAGCUUCCAAAGUUGAGAAGCAAUUGUGAAAAGACAAAGCAAAGGGAGAAAUUUUCAGUGCAGUUAUCAAAGAAGGAGAUUGAAGAAGAUUUUGCUGCGAUGGUGGGUCGCCGGCCGCCUCGCAGGCCUAUCAAGAGGCCCAGAGAUGUUCAGAGACAAAUGGAUGUGAGUUUAAUUUCUUUGCAUUUGAUUGAUUCUGUGUUUUUUUAAUAAACUAUGCAAAAUCUAACACAUGAGAAAAUUUGAUUUUUUUUGGUGCAGACCCUUUUUCCUGGAUUGUGGUUAACAGAAGUUACAGCUGAUUUGUAUAAAGUUACUGAAGCAUCUGAGAAUGGUGGAGGGAAAGUGCGUAAGGGGAAGGGAAAAAUGCAUCUCUCUGAGUCUGAUGAUGAAGAAUGAAGAAUCUUGAUGGAUAGGUUUUAUUUUGCAAUGGUACAUAUGGAUUAAGCUUCUGUUGCUUUUCACAGUUCAAUUCAUUCUUUUUGUUCAUGAGAAUAAUAAUAUUGUAGUUUGGUGACUGUUUACUUUGCUUAUAAAGUUCUGUGCCUUAUUGACACACCUCAAAUGUCACAGUUUUAAGCUUUCAUUUCUUUCACUAUAUGCAGAAUUUGUAGUCUAGUUACUUAUUUCUGAGUUAGUAUUGGUUAGGUUUGUUUGAAUUUGACUUUUUGAACUUCUGCAUAGUGCUUAUGAAUUGCAUUGGACACCAGGCGUGCAAGUUUUAAAUUGCGGGUGUGGUUCCAUCUCGGUUUUGGUCGAUUUAUCACAAUUGUGGGGACUAUCAAAAUGGCAGUAGUGCAAUCACAAUUGCAGGUUUGCAGUUCAAGUUAAAACUGUCACAAUUUGUGUUCCUUUUACUGCUUUUUUCAUUUUGCCUCCAAAAUCUCCUGCUAGAUGCUCAGUUUCUUCAUAACUGGUACUGGUUUUGCACAUAAGAGGAGCUCAACCCCUCAUAUAGUGAAAUAUGACAGAGUUUGUAUAGUAUUAGACUAUUUCUUCUGUGGGAAAGACUGUUUGCUGAACUAUAAAUAUGAUGACAGAUCUUUCAAUAAUCUACUUCCUUUAACAAUUUCCCAUGGUCAAUAUCACGUACAUUUUGAAGAUGUUAUACUUUGGAUAAGUGUUCAAGUUGGUCUUUGAAUACCUCUUCUAAAGUAUUGUUGAUGUUUUGUAAUUUAUUAGCAAUUUCACAUGUUCAAUUCCUGCACAUUUUGAAUGCACAAACAUCUUGAAGUUGAACAAACAGCUAAACCAUUUCCACCAAGUUAAGUUCCUGGAUACUUUGGAUUUGACACUGUAUUUUCUAACAAUCACUUAUGGUCUAAGAGCCAAACAAUAAUCUAAGUUUGAUGUGCCAAAUCCAUAUACUGUGGAACAAAACUGCAAUAGUAGGAUAGAAGGACAAAGAUGAUCAACAAAUAGUACCAAUCAUUAUAUCCAUCAUAAAGGUACUUUUAUUUUUAAUACUAGAUGUUAUGGACUAUAUAAUCCCAAAGUGAAACAGCUAUAAUAUAGUGCAACGUGAUAAACUUAGCUUUCUGAACUAUUGAAAUAGUAGAUAUCACAUUUUCUUGAGGAAACUAUUCUUUUGUGCUUGGGUUUUUGUUUUCCAUAAUAAUUUUAACUAUAUAAUAUCCUUAGGAUUCAAGUGAUUCAUAUUUGAUGUUUGGAGAUUAAUGUAUGUGAUUGAAGGUGUUUUAAAUUUGAUUGUAUUUUACUAGGAUGACUUUUUGGUGGAGUUUUUAAUAUGAGAAGUCACUUUUCUUAUGUGUGCUGAUUGCAUCUUCAACAAAUCACUAAAAUUGUGUCGGAAUUUGUUUGCAAUUUAGAUUUUGGAGGGAAAGAAAGUUUGAGAGUUAUAAAAUAUACUUAUAACAUGAAUGAAAUUUUCAUUUCCUUCAUCGCUAAAACUCAACUCGUAAAGAACGCUUGCUAAUAUACGACUGACAUGUAGAAUUAAAAUGCUUAUCUAGUUAUGUUUAAUAAUUAAUAAGAAAAAAUAAUAUACCUUUCUCAAAAGUGAUUGGGUUGAGGCUUUAGACAAAUUUGAUCCGUGGUUAAGAAUUCCAAUUUUGGAGUCUAAACAUUUGGAAGAGCUUUAUCAAAUUGUGACUUCAUUUGAGGAGUCUUGGUCUAUAUCUAUGAAGAUACAUGGUCGAAGGCAAAAAAAGAAACAAAGAAAUUUAAAAAGUAAAUACCUUAAAGGGCUUAAACUUAUGAUAAGUUUGCAAAUUAUUUUUUGAAAAUUAUUGAUAAAAUUAAUUACAACUUUUUGAAACAAUAUUAGACUCUUUUGGCAUUACAUUUAUGAAUUUCUAGCAUUUAACCUAUAAUUUCUUUCUUUUAUUUAUGAGAAGUUUGCAUCUUGGAAUCUUACUAUAAUUUCAUUACCAUAAAUUAUUAAUAUCUUAAAAUGAUUUUUGUAUAUGUAUGAUAUUAAAAAUAAUUUUAGUUAUUUAUAAGAUUCUUUUGAGGUUUUGUUUUGAUCAUAUUUACAACAUCUUUUUCAAAAUUCUACGAACAAUAAUAGAUGAAUUUGUUACCAAAAUAUUUCAUUUAUUCAAACAGUUUCAAUGAAAAAAUAAAAUAGUUUAAUUCUAGAUGUCAGUUUUGGUAAAAGUGAUAUAAAAGUUAACAAAUUUAAUAAUGGUUUUAUUUUUCUUGAUCCAUAUGAAAUUAUCCAAAAUGGUCAUAAAAAGGACUAGAGGUAAUAUUAUUUAUGAGAAUAGAUAUAUAUUGAUACCAUGAAAGAUUUUAUUAUAUAUUGAUCCACACUUUAUAUUUAAUUAUAAUUAACUUUUAAAUAUGAACAAUACAAAUUAAUGAUAAAUGAUAUCAUUAAUGUAUAUAAAUCUUUACAAUCAUAGUGUAUAAAUGUUACAUUAAUUCUUUAUACCUAUAAGUUUACAUUUUUAUAUGAUAUUUUAAUUUCUUAUUCAAUUUUUGUGUUUCAAUUACUUAAAGGAGAUUAGAUUUAAACCCUUAAUUACUAGUUUUAAACCACAACUUUACAUACAUUACCUUCUUUCGUCCAUGUAAGCAAGGUUACAUGUUUUUUUUGUUGGAAAAAUUGAGUCCAACUCCUCUCCAGUACUGGAGAGUCCAGUACUGGAUUUUAAGGAGAAACAAUAAAUAUAAUUUAUUUUAUUAAAAAAUGAGUUAAAAUUAGAACUGUUAGAUUUUUAUUUUUGCCACGUGUCAUGAUCUUAACAUGGUAAUGGACUCUCCAGUAAUGGAGAGGAUCCAAAUUCGGAAAAAGUACACUAACUUCGGUUAAAUGCACAUAGAUAGAUUACAAAUGAGAUGGAAUUUAAAACUAAAAAUGCAGGAUUAAAUAUAAACUCCCUUAUUUAAUCUUACAGGAAUCGCUAAUGCGAUAACCCAGCCCAAAGAACCACUGCAUAUUUAUUUGGUUUGGGUUUUAUACUUUUAGAACUCUGUUAUGGCCCAUUACCACCUGUGUUCGAUCCUAUCAAAGCCCAACACCGGACAUAAUAUCAAAUUCGAGGAUGUUUAAAAUUUUGGUACCCUAGUAUACAAAUUCAAGUACGAUCAUACAGAGAAAACAUUAAUUCAGGCUUUACAAUCAUACAUAAAUAUAGUUUAUGAUUAAAAAUUAGUUAUUGAGAUAUAAUUAAUUAUUUUAAUCUUAAUUGUUUAAGUUAGAUCUGAUUGUCGAUAUUGACUAUUUUUAUUUCUCACGAUAAUAAUUGCUUUUACCUAAAUCAUUUUCUAUAUAUAGGAUAUAACUUUUUUUAUAAAGACAGUGUAUAAAUAUUACACUCAUACAUAACGAAGACGAAAAAGAUAGAGUUGCAAAAAGAAAAGAACAAUAUCUAAGAUCUGAAUCAUAUCUAUUAAAUGAAUAUAACUCACUUUUUUUAUCUUAAAGUUAAUUUCGUUCCUUGUAAUAUAGAUUGACCACACAAUAGCAAGUCAUAAUAUUCUCCACAAAUUAAUACAUUUAGAACAAUUAAAAGAAUCAUGGAGAUUAAAAAAUUAUGAUAAUCGAAUAAACCUGCAUUUAUUUGUAACUAAGAAAAAAUCAUUUCCACAUAGCUGAAGCAUGUGAUGUGCUUAUCUUUGGAGGAAACUCAAGUUUUGGUGUGAAAUGAAGUAUGGUUUCUAAGCUAAUUUGGCCCAGUCAGUUUUGCAAAUAUGGUCACCCCAGAGUUGCCAAUUUGACUAAUGCAUUAGAUUCCAAGGCAUUCAGUGGAUAUUUUACCAAUAAUUGAAUAUAAUUUUUGAUAAAAGCUGAUUUGCAUUACAUAGCUAAAUAGUCUAUAAUCUGAUACAUUAUAAGUUAGGUAAUAGGCUUUUGAUAGAUUCUACUCCGGGUGCAAGCACAUGGAUUAAACUGCCUAAGUUAAGGCAAAGUGUUUUUGGAUAAAAGUCAUAAAACCACAGCGUGAUAAAGCAUUUUUCUAAUGACUCGUUGUAAGUUCAUUUUGGAACCCAAUUACAAAAGUUCAGGUGUGUUAAAAUGGUAGGAGAUAUGCUUGAAUCUUUUUGAUGAAACAAGAAAGAUGAGAAAAGAGAAUGAGAAAGAAAGCUUAAAGAAUUGAUAUUUCUCAUUACUGAAAAUGAGUGAAUUGAAUUACUAACUAGUUAAUCGAUUAAUUAAACUCUUAAUCGAUUGACGAAAAUAAUAUUACAACUAACAAACCGAAAUCAACUAACAACUUUAACAUCCCCUCAAGUCAGAAUGUGUCAAGCAUUCCAAGCUUGAAAUAAUUGUGCUGAACAUCACACAUACUCUAAUACCUCUUUUUGCUGGUGAGCGAAUAUUCGUCUCUCAGUCUUGAAAUCUGAACGUGAAGCAAUACUGACGCUUAACCACCAUUUGGCAGAAGCAAUUUCAUCCAACGCUUAAUCAUCUUUUUGAAAGAAGCAAACCAAUCAUAACAGAUGAAAAAAAGAAAUGAGAUGUACCUUAAUCUUGAUCACUAUAUGUUGUGUUGUAGCGGAAGACACAUGGAGAAAUUUAAAUAGAGAAAAUGACACCGAGAAAUUAACGUGGUUCAGCAAUUUAUCUACGUACAUGGUUGAAGAGCAACAAUGAUAUUAUCACAAAUCACUAUGAUAAAAGAGAAUUACAAGUUCACUCAAGUGUUUCACUCACUUCCCAAAAUCCAAGUACACCCAAUAUCACUCUCUCUCAAGUAUAUCUUAAACACUAAAAUAUUCCUUACAAUAUUAGAACAAGAGAAGAAGAGAGAAUAUGCACUAAGGUUAAAAUAUUGGUGUGUCUUACAAUGGCUUGAAACAUUCCUAUUUAUAGCAAAAUCCUUGAGGAUUGUAUGGCCAAAAACAAAGAUGCUUCACCACAACCUCUUCUUCUCAUUGGCUACAAAAAAGGUUUCACUAUAGCUACUCAUUUUACUUGGCCACAUCAUUCUCUUUUUUCUUUUAAGUCAAUAUUUAAUAUGUUGCUUCAAUGAGAAAAAAUUACACACUAAUGUUGUGUGUUUAAUGAGAGAGGGGUAAAGAAACUAGAGUAAUAAAGAAAAGAAAUAAUUGGGAGUAGUUGAUGAAGAAUAAGAAGAAAAAGAUGUGAAGUAACCAAAAAUCUCAAGAACUCUGAAAGAUCUCAAAGAGAAACUUACAUAUUGCUUGAUAAUAUUCAUAUACCAACAUUACCUGUUUGAUAAACAUAAUUGAAUGAAACUUUUCUCAACCUUCUUUGCUUCUAAGUGUUGUUACUUGUUACAGAAUUGAUAGCAAGAAGAUGGUAGAAACUUUUGAGAAGAAGAUAUGAACUAAUCUUUUAUCACUUUGCAAGAAGUGAGAUGAACAUGCCUCUUUGAUUAAUAAACAACACAAAUGUCCAUACAAAGUUGUUGGCACGAAUUUUCUUGGGAAUCUUGAAAUGGAAGAACACUUGAUAUAGAAACGACACAAUCAUAGAAGCAUAACUUGAUAUGAAUUUUCUUGGGAAUCUUUGACUAGUGACUCUAGAUGAUCAGAGAAAAUGGUGAUGAGACUGUUGUAACUUGGUAGACACUCUCCAUUCUUACUCUUUGUAGUAAGGUGAGAUGGAAGUUUUUCAUAGAAGCAUAAACGCGAAAGCUUACAAAAGAUUAAUUAUGCUCUGAUAUCAUGUUAAAAUGGUAGGAGACAUGCUUGAAUCUUUUUGAUGAAACAAGAAAGAUGAGAAAAGAUAAUGAGAAAAGAAAGCUUAAAGAAUUGAUAUUUCUCAUUAUUGAAAAUGAAUGAAUUGAAUUACAAGAAAUAAGGGAACCACCCUUUAUAUACUAACUAGUUAAUCGAUUAAUUAAACUCUUAAUUGAUUAACGAAAACAAUAUUACAACUGAGAAAUCAAAAUCAACUAAAUGUUUUUUUAGAAGUUGUGAGAUGGUAUAAUCAUUUAUAUUAAAAAAGAAAUGGGUUGAACUUUCAACAGAGCAAUUCAAUUAUUAAUGACUUUAAUGCUGGAUUGGAGAGUUUGAAGUGCCAUACAAUGAAAUGAAACAUGAGAAAGGAAAAGGAAAAUGAGGUAAAGGGAAUGGAAGUGAAGGAACUAAAGAUGCGUCAUGUCAUAUUCUCAUUAUUUGAAAUGGAAUAUCUUAUUGGUGCUAUACCUUAAUUUGAGGGGGAGAAUUUUGGUUUUUUUGCAUGACUUAUUUUGGGUAUUUUAAUUCCAUUUAUUUCAAGCAAUGUAACUUUAUUUAUCUUAUCCUCUUCCAUUUUAUACCCAUAUAUUUCACAUUUAUCCCAUGAUCUGAACCUCGAUCUUUAAAACAAAUAGCAACAUUUUGAAUAAAGAUACGUUAUAUAUAUAUAUGGACUUUAUAUUAAUAAAAAUACAUUAUUUGGAUACUUUGAAUUAUAUAAGUAGACUCAUGAAACUAAUGACUUAAGGUUUUGAGUCAAUAUGUUGUGUCAAACCUACUUAUAUGAUUAUUUUCCUGGGACAUGGUGGAUUGAAGGAGAAAAUUAUUGGAUUUACUCAAGUGUGAAGUCUCAUAUUAAAUGUGAUGGGAGAAAUAAAAGACUUUAUAAGUAGAAAAUGCUCAUUAAACUAAUGCGUUAAAGUUUUGGGUCAAAACGUGAUGUCUCACUCAUAACUCUUUACUCUUCUCAUACCCAAGUAAUAAUAGAAUUCUCGAAUGAUAAAAGGCUAUCAGGAUCCAACAAUUUUGAUUAAAUUAACCCACAUAAACUUUUACUUAAAACCAUGAUUGCCACAACCAAGCACUCACAUUAAGUUAACAAUAUGCCGCAGCCAAUGAAGUUAAAUAUCUGUGGGGAGGAAUUGAAAGAAGGAAGGAAAAAUAAUGAGUAAUCUUAGUCAGGUUCCAAUUCUUCAACGUCCUCUACAUAUUAGUUUUGACAAAUAUAGUGGGAUAACUAGGGCACGCAAAGAUCCCACUUUCAAAGCUACCCUUAUAUAAAAUACUUAGUAGUACUUUGUAAAAGUCAUUAUCUUCUAAAAACAAAUACUUAUCCAAUACAUUGAACGUGAUCAAGCCAAUUGCAAUGAAGAAAAAUGACACCCCCCAUUAAGAACAAAAUUGCAUGGUCCCAACAUGCUAUAUGUGGAGGCUAAUUUAAUUGUUAGACAUGUAGAAACUUAAUCUUGCCUCUAAUUGGAUUAUGAUGACUAUGAAUUAAAAAAGAGGUUCACCUUACUUUGGCUUUUAUAAUUUUCCCAUCGUUUUCAUCUUCAUUUUAUGGGCGAAUUUACAAGGAAGAUUCACUAUAGUAUAGAGAGUUCAAUGCAUAUAGUAAGGUCCAAAUUCACACCUAAUAUUUUGUUAAUUUGACGAGGUAAAGGUGUGCAGAAAAGCUACAUUUUCUUAGUUACUUCCAACACAAUCUACAAGCUAUGAAUAUUAUGAAGAGAUAUUUAUAAAUUACUCAUCAACGAUAUUUUCAGAGUAGAAUGACAAUACAACUUAAACCUAAUUCUUGUAAGAUAUGUUCUGAAUCUUUAUCAACUAAACUAACAUUUUAUUAACUAUUGUUGGUUUUAUUAGUUUAAUUUUUUUAAUUAAAUCGUGAUUGAAUUAUAUAUCGGAAUUGGUUUACAACUAUUUUGGUUUGUGAGUACAUAGAAACUAAAUAAUUUUCUUACAGCAUCAUGUAAUCUUCCCAAGGACUACAAAUUUAUUUAUAAAGUGUAAUAUAUAUGCACCGAUUGUAUAAAGAUUUAUACAUAAUUAGUGUAUCAUUCAUCACUCAUUUGUAUUAUUUUUAUUUUAAGAAUUAAUAAUAAUACAAUGAUCGUAUAAAAGUCUCUUACACUGUCAAUAUAUAUAUAUAUAUAUAUAUAUAUCUUAUUUAUACAUGUUGCAUUCAUGUUCUUGCAUCUAGCUACAGUUGAAUAUGCUAAUUUCUCUCUUGUUAGAUGUUAUAUUAAGCUUAUAUGAUUCAAACCAAUAAUAUUGGGUAAAAUUCGUUUUUUAAUAAGGGUUGGAGUACCAUUUUAAUUAUAUUUCUUUGAGAAAAAAUGAAUAUAUAUACAUAAUAUAAUUUGUUCAUAGUAUAUCCUUCAACCAUCUAAUAACUAAUAUCAUCGAUCUUUUUUUAUAGAAUCCAUUUGAAAUUUUAUUUUUGGUAUUUUGUAUGAUAUUUUCAAAAUUUCGAUUACAUUAUUUGAAAAGAGAAUGUGUUUCUGAAUUUGGUAAAAAUAUAUCUAACUGUUGACAAAUGUAAUAAUAUUAACUAUAUUAGUUAACUUUAUUAAUUCAUCACAAAGUAUUCAAAACUAUAAAUGGAUCGGAGAAAUAACUAUUUCGAAGUUUUGGGUACACUAAUCAGAGGUGAAAGCAAUGCCAGUCUAACAUAAUUAUACCAAUGUCAUUGAAUUCGUUGCACAAAAUUUAUUAUUAGUCUUGCUACCCGGUUUACUUUUUUUAAGUGUUGAUCACUGAAGGCGAAGAAAGACAACAACGAAAGUAAAAGAAAAAUGUCCUACUUUUCAACAACAAAAAAUGUCCUAAGAGAUGCAUAAUACAAUGUUAAGGCAUAAAGUAUUUACCAUACUUUGGGAUGCUUUUAUUUAUCUUCCAUUUUCACACCUAGUAGACCAUACUUUCAAAUAACUACGGCGCUUUCGCAUGCAAAUUAAAAUUUUGUUUACUUUAUAAAAUGCAACAAAUGGUAUGAUAUUUUCAUAUUAAUUGUACUUUACAAUUUACAUGCCCUACCUGUCUAAGCAUUGUUGCCUACCAUACAGUGGGAAAAGAACUAGAUGAUAGAAAAAUCAUAAUAAAACAAAAUCCAAUACAUGUCACAAUGAGUCACCUCCACUUCAAAAUAUUCUUCAAUCUUCACCAUCUACAUAUAUUAACGCACAAAACAAUUUUUGUCCUAUACCUUAGUCAAAUAAAAAAUAUAUGUAAAAGAUUGUCAAAAUUAAUAAGUUGAAAAGCCAAUUACGAGUAACUAGCUUCAUAAUUAAAAUGCUUGAACGCAUACAUGGAGAAGGAUUAUCAAAGUUAAUGAGUAAAUAAGUGCAACAUGUACAAAGUGAAAUCAGUUGUUUGAGAAAUAAUAAUAAUAAUAAACAAAAUAAUGUAAAAAAAUGUCCAAGACAUGAAAACUGAAAUGGCUAGAAGCACUGAGGUUGAACCUAAAUACAUAGUAACUUCACGGUGGUGCUAAACUAAGGUGCAAGUCCAAUCCAAACCCAUCAUCGAAACUGGGCCCCACUUCCCCUUUAGAAAGCCCAUCAAUUCUGCUAAAGUGGGCCCUACCUUGUACUUGCGAGCCCAUCGUUGAAAAUGUGGAAGAGGAAUCCUCUACUCCUCCACCGUACCGUAAUACCCCUGUACCUGUGGAUCUAGCACCCGUUACAAUGCUAUAGUUACCACCGUUACAGUUACUAUUACUGCUUACACCGUUGUUACUGUUUGGGAACACGCAACCGUGUGAAACUGACACAUGGAAAGGAGGAGGAGCUGCACGUGGUUGCAUAUAUACCCAUGACGGUGUACCCGCAGGCACCAUCAUGGAACCCGGCGGAGCGAGGAGAUGAGGCGGUGGAGCAAAGGCGGAGAUGAUCGGGUUGCGAGCGAAUGAAACAGCAGCGUUUCGAGUGGCUUGUAAUUGAGCGCGUUUGAGUUGUUGGCGCUCUUUCUUGUGCGCGUUUUGGUGUCCUCCCAGUGCUUGAGAGUUUGCGAAUUCUCGGCAGCAGUACUGGCACUCGUAUUUGCGGUCGCCGGAGGAGGUGGAUAUGCCGGCGGUGUCACCUUCUAUGCCGCCGGUGGAGUCGGGGGAGGUGGGUUUGGGGGUUGAGUCUGAUGUUUCAUCCAGUUGGUCGUUGGUGUGUUGGUGGACGUUGAAGCCGAAGAGCUUUAAGCGCGUGGUGGAAGAAGGGUUGGUUGUGUUUGUAUGGUGAUGGAGUUGGUCCUCCAUGGGAGUGUGGGUUUGUUGUUGAUGAUGAAGAAAGGGGUAGUGGAAGUAUGAGACAAGGAGAUGAGUCUGUGGGGAAAUGGUGGGGAGCUGUUGUUAUCAAGGUGGUCUUGCAUGUAUCUUUGGGCUCUAUUUAUACAUUGGAUUUCACACAAUAAAUAAUAAUUAUGGGGUUUUCAAAGGAAAUGAAUGAUGUGUUCCCUGUAUUAUUAUAUAUAUCGUUAUGAAUAAAAAAAAUUAAAUACAAAAACUAAUAUUUUGAUUGGUUUAGCACAUAGAAUGAGCUCUCAUUGGAGAUAUGAAAUCUCUGUUUGUUUUCUAGAUGAGACAUGAUAAAAAAAAAAAUAUUCUCUUUCAUAUAUUUUUUUGGAAGAUAAUAUAUCAUUCUAAUAAUUCUCCUACCCACAAAAGAUUAACAUAUGUAAUUACAUGGUAAUACUUUAUUUAUUAAUGUUUGGUUUAAAAAUAACAUGUGUACUCUUUUUACAAGGAAUAUAAUUUGUAGGAGAAUUUAGUAGAAGAUAUAACUUCUCAUUUUUAUAAACAAUGUUAUCCCUUUUACGAGAAAAGAACUAAUCUUUUUUAGAAUACAUGAUUAUUCCACUAAAAAAAUUACCUUUAUAACAGUCAAAAUUUUGACUUUUAACCUAUUACAAUAUUUGAGAUAUAGUGAAGUUUUUCAUCACUAGACUAAUGUAGUAUAUCAUUGAUAUAUAUUAUGAUAUCUAAGAUUUGAUAAAAUUUAAGAAAUCACUAAGUUAUAUAAAAAUUGGUUCAUUUUGACUAACAUAAUCUCAUUUAAUAUAUAUUAGAAACUAAAUUAAAUAAGAAAUGGAGAAAUUGAGGGUAACUUAAAAAUAGGAAUAAUAAAUAAGCGCAUAAUCAGAAAAUAAAGUAUAAAUGUGUAUUGAAUUUUCAAAAUAUCAAAAAAGUAAAAAUGGAAGAAAAAAAUUAAAGCAUCAAACAACAUGAAAUAAAGAAAAUAUUUUAUAAAAAAUGAUAAAAAUUUAUUGGGGAAACUCAAUAUCAAAGUAUAAAACAAUUAUUUUCUUAUGGUUAGCUGUCUUUCUUAAGUAUCUUAAUAUCUAUGCAUUACCCGCAUUAAAGUUUUUUUCAUUAUGAGCUUCUAUCAUCCACAUAUGAACUAAAGAAAUUAUUUGACCAAUGAAUAGUUUAGGAUUAAAGAAAUGAACAAUGAACAGUUCAGUAUUAAAUAAAUGAACAAUGAACAGUUCAGGAUUAAAGAAAUUCGAAGCACUUCAAUAAACAACAAAAGAAGAAAAAGAAAUUCAAAGCACUAAGUUUUAUUAUUCAAAAAAUGAGGGAAAAUUGGAAUCAGAACAAUAGAUCUCUUAUAAGGAUUGUUAUUAUUAUUAUUAUUGUUUGUUGUUAUUAUUGUAAUGAGAUGAAGACGAGGAUGAAGAAUGUGAUGCAUGUGAUGGGAGCAUGGGAAGGAUUGAAACUUAAAAGUCCUAUAUAAAAUGAUUUGAUUUGGAUCAGAGCCAUAUCUCAUUAUUCUUUUUUCCCUGCUUCUCAUGGUUCUUCCUAAAUUACGUACAAGCCACUACACAUAAAUUAUGAUUUUGUAUUAUGCAAGUUGAUAAUUUAAAAGGCAACUAUUAAAGUCUCAACCAAUAUAAUUAACUUAGUUUGUUGGACUAUAUGUAUAGUAGCAGCAUCAAAUUAAGCCAUUAAAUCAGCGGAGUAGCUAAUUAAACUAUCCAAAAUUUAAUAGCUUAUUGGACCCAUCCAUUACUUUAUUAUGAUUAUGCCUUUUUGAAUGUGCAACCAACAACUAGAAAGUGAUCCUCUCUUAAUGCAAUUAGGUUAGAAAAGUGAACAUGGAUAUUUUUGUGGGUCUUGCUUGAUCUACCCUUUCGAUGGCUUUGAACUUAGCAUAAUUAAGAUGGCCAUAAUUAGUAGCUUGCCAAUAUUAUUUGAAACAUUUUGCUAACGCAAGGAUCUAACUCAACUCAAACCUCCACAAAAAUUGUUUAUUUCCCUUCAUUUAUUAUAUGUGAAUGUACAUAGACCUGUCUAUAAUGCACAAGCACCUUUUUAAUUUUCUGUUACAUAAUGUUUCAUUCCAAAUUUUCAAUUUGGCUACCAAAGUUAGUAAUCUCCAAUUUUCGAAUGAGAACUCAACUUGGCUAUCAAUAUCAAUUUUUCAUGCGUACAGGUUAGUUUAUGUAAAAGUGAUCCUCAAAGAUUUAAAAUGAAGCUCAAAUUGGUUCUUUUUAGACAAUUUAAUCCAAAAUCAAAUAAUUUUUUUUAUUACUAUCAAAAAUAUUUUUCACCUUAUGAUAAAGAACUAAUCCAUUUCGGGGUUCAUGAUUAACCCUCCUAACGAAUGUCAUUCAUAGGAAUCAAACAUUGACUUUUUGGUCAUCCUAGAGAUCUAACAAAACCUUAUACCAUUAGACUAACAUCUUAUUGGUUAAAAAUAAGUAAUGUGAUCUCAAUUUGAAAUUUUUAUGAAUAAUUUAGAAUUUUCAGUUCUCUAAGAGUCAAGCUACUUUGAUACACAUAGCCAUUUUGAUGAAAAACCAAAAUGGGUAUUCAUUCUUUUAUUUUUUCCAUAAAAGAUUAAGCCUUUAUUUAGUUGUGGGGAAAUGGAAAAGAAAGAAGUUGAGGGGAGAGAAGUUGCAAAGAAAGUAGGAUUUUCUCUUAUUUGGUUUAGAACAAAAAAUAAUAAUAGAGAGAGUAAAAAUAGGUAGGACCCACAUAAAAUUCUUUCUCCCCAUAUAUAGAAAAAAUUUAACACAUGAAAUAACAAUUAUGGUCUUAUACACUCUCAUUUAUUAAUAUUUUCCUUUCUUUUUGUUUAAUUGUGUUUUUGUCUUUUCAUCAAAUAUAACAUUUUUCUUUCCUCUUACUUUAUACUCAACCAAACAAGGGAGAUAGAGAAGAAAUAUGAAAAUCUACUCUCUUUCUUAUCUCUUUAUUAUCUCUUUUCCUCUCUUUAUAAUCUUUAUCAUAUCUUUCUCUUUUCUCGCUUUCUCCUCUCAACCAAAUAAAGCCUAAAUCUACUUAAUUUGUUGAUGGAAUCGAAAGCCUAUGAAACAGGAUGCCCAUGUCUCUGUUCUCCCCACCUUGGUUGUUGCAGACUACAACUCUCCAACUACUUCUGUAGUGUAGCUCAUACAAAGAAUUCUGAGAAUAAUGACAAUUACAUACCUAUAUGCCCAACUAUGUCACUAGUUUAUUUAGUAAAUUAAUAUCUUUUACAUUUUUAGUUUUCUUAACCUAUCUCUUUCAUUGGGUAUAUGUUGUAUUGAACUUGCAAAAACAAAUUUGUCUUAAAGUGAUUUACAUUUUGCUAGGAAACAUAGUCUCAAAAAAUAUAUCACUUGAUAAACACUACUUGAUAUGAUUGAAAAAUAUAUUUAAAUUAAAAGUUUAAUAAUUAAGUAAUUUUCUGAUUAAUACAAGUGAUGACAUAUGAACUGAGAUAGUUUUUGGGAUAUCAACAAAUGCGACCUCUUUUUAAAAAUGAUUUUGAUGAAAUAUAUAUUAUUUGUAUACCUUUAAUUUUAAUAAAAUUAUUGUUAAUAAUGUAAUAGUUGAAAGUACAUAACUGAGUUUUAUUAUAUGAAAAUUUAAACCUUUAUCUAUUCUUCAACUAAGAUUUAGAUGCCAAAUAAAGUUACAAAUAAUUUACAACUAACUACAUCAAACAUACUUAAAAAAUGGAACACAAUUUCAACCUUCCAAACUUUCUAAACACAUUCUCAACCACACCUUAAAUCAAUUUUGUCUUGCCUUAUUCUUAGAAGUCAAUACUAUUGAGCGCAUAGAUCAAUUUGUAUGAGAUGAACUAGUUUAAUUUAAUCAAAUAUCUGAAGUAUAAUUUUUUUAUAAUACAACUAUGUUUACCAAAAUGGUUUUGUUACCCAUAUACUAUGUUCAGCUCGAAUCAGGAUUAAUUAGGAAACACCCUUGCUACCUUGCAUAUCUGGUUUCUACAAACCUGAUGGUUUAAUACAAAAAUAAAAAUGGAAGCCGAGUGAGGGUAGGGCACAAGUUUAUGAACACAGAUUAAGAAGUCAAUAAAAAUAUUUUGACUAGAAUAUUCUUCUUAAUUUUUCAUAUAUUUUUACAAUUAAUUUCUGAUCAUAAGUUGUUCAAAAAUUUGGGAGAGAAAUUUUUAACAAAAUAAUUACUAACAUAAUAUAAAGUAGUACAUUAAGAAAUGGAGACAGUAUUCCAUCACAAUUUCACAUCUUGUAAAAUUUUAAGGAAAAAAUUGGAAAAUAAAUUAAUAACGAUUAUUGAACUAGGUUAGAAAAUGCUCAAAUAAGUUAGGUUAGAUUUGAAAAAAAGUACAUAUAACUUUUCUUAAGUUUAUAAAAUAUUAUGAAGACUAAAUAUCAAAAGUUUUGGAAAUAAGAAUUAUUUAUUCCUCAUUGUAAAAAACACUCUUAGUAAGAAAUGUAAUGGUUAUAUCAUUUUACAUGUAAUUUAUUAUGUUUUUUCCUCUAAUAUAUCAUCUGUGGUCGUGGGCAUUAAUUUUUGUCCAUUUGUUACAUGAAUCAAGAAAAUAUUAAAAAAGCAAAUAUAGAAAGUAACAACUAACAUACUUGUUGGGAAGUAUCUAUCUCUUUUUUGUAAGUAUAAUUUAAAUAUCCGUUGAGAUAUUUUUGUUAUUGUCAAUUAAUUUUAUGGUGAAACUUUUAAAAAGAUAUUAUAUAACAAUAGUUCAUUUUUCUCUAUGUGUCAAAUAAAAUUUAGUGAAAGGAAAUUGGUGAAAAAUAAGUCAGUCAUCAAUUACCUUAUUUUUUAUAAUCACAAUUUAAAUAUUACUCAUCCUAUUAUCAAUUAAUCUGAAGAUGAAAUUUAAGAGAAUGUUGAAUUUAUAAACAAACUAUACAUGAACAUGAACGAAAAAAUUCCUAUGGAGGUUGUAGCAUCCAAGAUCUCAAACUAUGAGAUGAUAAAGAGUGACUGUCAAAAUUUAUAUAAUAUACUUAUUAUUUUUUAUUGGUCAGAAAAGUAAAUCAAGAAUUAAAUAUAGUUUAAUUUUAUAUUUUCUGACUAAUAUAAAUAAAAAAAUAUAUAGAAUGAUACAUAUCUUGAGACAGAAGAUAUAUUGAUACUUGGGCACACAGACAAACCUAACACCGCCAGUCCUACUAAUAACUACUUCAUGGCCCACGUGUUCACAUCAUAUUCACCCCUACACAUCUCUUUUAACUAGAUAUGCAUGUUUCACAUUACUCCAACCUUGUUAAUUCCCUAACACAUGUCACCGUUUUCUAUUAUGCCAAUUUUGAACUAAUAAAGUCAACAUAAAAAGAUGUUCAGGAGGACUAUGAGGAGCUUAGUUUAAAGAGAAAACCAUACUAUAUAUGAAAGGACAUUUUAGUGUUAUGACAUUGAGUAUAUAAAAUUGAAUAUAAUAACGUUCAGGUGUGUGUUUCUUACACAACCUUAUGUUUUGGGUCCCUACCAUUACGUGUUUAUGAUGAUGAAUACUUUUGUUUAGUGUUUGCGUGAUUGACGUUGAAAUCUAUAUUUGUAUACUUCUUUCUUUCUUUGAGAGAUUCUGCGAAUCUUGCUAACUACAAGAGAGAGAGAUUAAGAGCAAGUGCUUUUUUGGGUUAGCAAUCUCCCACUUAAAAAGCAUAAUGCUACUCAUAAUAUAUAUUGUAAUCAUAAUGGCUAUGUAAUAUUUUAUCUUAGAAAAAUGGAAAAUGGCCCACUUCAAUGCUAAAGUCUUCAUCACAACUCCUAAUCUGACCCCACCUUGUCCUCACUUUCUCAUGAGUGUGAUCUAUUCAAAGCACUUCUAAUUAGUCAAAUUGUCCUAUGUAUAAGAAAAAUAUAUCUUUGUAAAUCCCCAUGUUGCGGAUCAUCUUUUGUAGGGAAAAGUUUGUAUUCCUUUUCCACCGUUAGAUCCGAUAUUAAUCAUCAUUGCAUAAUCUCCAAGUGGUUAUUCUAAAUUCAACUAAUUAAUUAGCUAUAUGCUUGUAGAGUUGUAGGAUAUAUACCAUGACAUGGGUAUAAAUGAAAGGUAACGCCAUUAAAUCAUCACAUUUAAUUAUUAAUAAAUAAAAAAACUUGUAUGAAGACAUAUUGUUAUUUUAGGAAAUAUGUGUAUUUAUACCACCAUUUAUGUUUUCUUGUGACACACUACAUUUUUAGGCUUUGAACUAUUUUAUUUUAAAAGUUAUCUGAUAUCAUGCUAAUUAAUUAUAUAUAAGUUUUAAUAAUUUGGACUAAAGUUUUAAUGGUUAUAACUUGAAACUCAGUGACUAAAAUCCUGAUAUGACAAAAUAUCAAAAUUGUUAGCAUGAUGAUGAUGUAUGUUCUAAUUAAUAUCAAUGCAAGAAUAUGUAUGAUCCACAUGGUCUCCAUUAAUAAUUUUAGAUAGAUAAAAAAUGGGUUUAAUGUAGUGAUAAACCUAACGACCCUUUCGCUUUAUCAUGUGUGGAUCCAAUGAUUUUGCUCUUUGGGUCUUUCUAGUAGUCCCAUUAUGGAGCUCAAGGAGUCAAGUCGAACACUCACUCAUAUAAUAAAGCAUGUACACUGAAUUGACAAAUCUCAUAUAAAUGAGUGUAGUCAUAAAGAGUAAAGGGAGUUUAGGUAGAGAUAUAUAUGUAGCUGUUGCUUGUUGGGACCAGUGCUGGCCAAAACAAUGGUACCAAUUUUUGGCUUCAUCAUGUGUUUACUAUUCUUAUAUAAAUAGCUUCUUAAAAAGGUAUCCUAUGUAAAGUAGUAGAGAAAUAGUGACUUCAAGAUUUGUGUUACCCAUUUCAAUAAUUACUUUUCCAAUUUCUUGAACUCAACAACUUGUUGAUUACUUGUUAUUAAAGUUUAAAUUUAUAUAAUGUAUUAUUCGUUACAUUAAAAGAUUAAAAAAUAUGAUUUCCAACUGAAACUCUCUAUCUUUUAAUUCCUGUUAUAUGCUUAAGGUAUUUUUAGUAUUAAUCAAAAAAUUAUUACUACGUACAAGUAGUUCAGUCUUCUUUAGUUUUUGUGGUAAGGAUGAUUGACAAUGCAGAUUAAUUUCCAAGUCUUAUUCUUGCCAUGUGGUGCAAUAACAUUGGGGUAGAUAUUGACUGUCCCAAAAACAAUGUAUCACUCCAUGUGUCACUACUUCUGAUUAAUCAAAAAAAUGAUUAGUUAUUAAAAUUUUAAUUUAAAUAUUUUUUUAAUCAAUCAUAAUGGUAGAAGAAGUAACACACAUUAUACACAACAGAUGUGCUCUCCUAACAUUGGCACUACAAAACUCCCAUUUGUAACUGAUUCAUACAUCACCUAAUAUGAUGGAAUUGAGAUCAUAUCUUAUCAUUCAUGUUUGGUUUUGGUAUAGUGAUUAAUUAUAAAAUAUCAUUUAAUUAAAUAUUAAAUAAAAUAUUCAUAAAAAUAAAAACUAAUAUUGUUAUAUUAUUUUGUCAAAUUUUAUCGAUUAAAGACUUAGAUACAUAAUUUUUUUUUCUGACAAAGUAUAUGUGUUCAAUAUGAUGACCUUAUCUUCCAUUGGAUCCAGCGCAAUUAAAUUGCCAUGUCGAGUAGGUAGGGUAGAGUUAGGAGUUUAGGGUUUUGAGUCACCCACAAACAUGAUAAGGUAGUUGAGAGAUAUGCCGUGUUAAUAAUUCUAAAGGAUUCUUUAAAAAAAAUAUAAAUUGAGGAAGUUAAUUUUGAAAAUUGAUGUUUAACACUUCUCAAAAUAUUAAACAUGUCAUUUUUUAGUAUAACACUACCUUUUUAGCUUCCUAUGAGAAAUUUUGUUGUUGUAUAUGCUUCUAGAAUAUACUUUAAGUGUUAUGUUAAUCAAUAAUCUAAGGAUAUUAGUUCAAAAAAUGUAAUGUGGGAAAUUUUGUCUUAGAGAUCUUCAACCAAAUCCCAUACUAAAUAUAUCAUUUUCAGAGUAAAAUUAUAAUUUUAUUUCCCUAACUAGGACAGAGUUUAAUAUAUAUGAUAGAGUAAGUAUAGCAUUGUGAGUGUAUCUAUCAUUCAUUUAGAAAUUAAAUUUAUUAUAAUUUUAUAAAAAACAGCAAUUGCUCAAAAAGUUGAACCCUUCUUCCUGUCUUCAGUAAAGUAUACACAAAAACGGUUAGGACAUAUGCAUUUUAUUUUUGGGUAUAUAUAGCAUGUAUUGGUUGAAAACAGUUUGUCAUAACCUGAGAUUCUAAAGUGAAAAAGGGUAUAUAUAAAAAGAAAAGAAUGUCUUUAUGAGAGAAGAAGGAAGAUGGAAAAUAGAGAAGCUAAGUGGGUUUGGAACUAGGAACAGUUUGAAAAUGGUUAGACAUGAACUCAAGGUUUUCUCCACUGAUGAAGGGUAAUAACACAUGGGAAGGUACAUCUCAUUGGUUCCACACUGUUUGAACAAGCACAUGUAGGUCCCAUCCACAUUGGGACCACAUGCCCAGAUUUUGUAGUACUUGCCCCCACAUCUACACUUAACUCCUAAAUUGGCUUCUAUAUAUAAAUAAAUAGAGAUUUAUUGUCUAGAUCAUAUCUCUUGUAUUUAAUCGUAUUAAUAAUAAUGAAUCAAAUAAAUAAUAAUAAUUUUUUUUAAUUGAUAUGAUAUAUUUGUAUUAUUGCGAGCUUAUGAGAUAAGAUAUGAGACAACAACUCUUCAUUACUAAAUAUUUCAGCAUAGUAGAGAUUUGUCCAAUCAUGCUUUACAAGUCUUAUUAAUACAGAUACAACUGUCUUAUUGAAUAGUAAAGAUGUUUCUUUAUUUCCUCCUUUUUUGGGUAUUUUUGAACUUGCCGUAAUGGUUUCCACUAUCAAUUUGAGAAAAAUCACUUUUGGAGGGCAUUAAUCAUGCUUUCUUUUGUUGUUGAUUGAAGUGAUGCCGAUAUUAUCGUCUAAGAUUUCCCAAAUCGUGAUUAUGGCCCACCAAGUUGAGCUUAUCAAGGAGAAUUAACCAAUGACAUAGUAAAUCACAAUAUUUAAUUAGUUAUUAUUAAGAGACGUGAUCCUAUCAUAUUAGAAUCCCCAUUAAAAUUCUAAAAUCAUAUUUUAUUUCUUUUCUUAACCAUUACUUUGGAAGUAUCCAAAAAGGAUAAAAAGGUUACCCCCAAUGUGACUUAAUUUUCAAGUUGGAAAUCCUUUUCUAUGAAUAUGUUCAGAGUAUUUAAUUUUAAGCACUGUCCCACAUAAUGUGGGUAUGACUCAAUUCGCCCAUCCAUGUACUCCAAGUGACAUUACCUACACCAUUUUAAAAUUGUAAUUCCAUUCAAUAUAAAAACCAAAUUGGUGGAUAUAUUGUAAGUGGAGUUAGCUUUAAGUCAUGUGAAUUGUGAAGUAUCUAUCUCCUUUCUCUAAUAUUAUUAUAUAAGUAUGUAAUUAACUAAGCAAUUAAUAUCUCAAUUUUUAUUUAUUCAUCUCAUUGCAAAAAAAAAAAAAAGAAAACACGUCUGAAAUAUAAGAAUAGUAUUGAUUUAUGUUCUAUUUAUUGAAUUUUCCCCCAAAAUGUAUCAUUUUCUAUCUAUGAUCAUUAAUUUUUUCUUACUACUUAUAUGAGUUAGUAAGAUAUUAAAUAAGAGUGAACAAUUAAUGGAAAUUCUAAAAAGAAGAAAUAAAUAAGGACAAAAAAGUUAAAUGAAUAGAUAAAUAUGAAGAAGUAAUAAUUUAAGGUUGGAGUUAUCCCUGGAUCUUAAGCCAGAAUGUCCACAUUUAUGAUAAAGAAAAGAAGCAAUUAUAAAAUCCCCAGUGCCUUUAAUAAGUUUAAAAAAUACAUGUUUAGAAGCUCCCGUGAAUUGAGUUAAAGAGUGGGGGUAGGGGACUUUGGUCAAUAUAUAAGACAAAAACAACUGCGUGGUUUGUUAAUAAAGUGAGGGACAUUUAUACGGCUAUGCAACUGCAACAUGACACUUAUAUAACAUAUAAUAAAACACAUCCAUGCUUGGGGAACAUUUGCACAUGACAUGACAAAAUCUAAUACCUGUAUUCAAUAAAUAUAUAUAUAAUAAAAAAACAAGUAUUCUAUAUCAAUAAAUAUAUAAAUAUAUGUUGUUCCAAAUCCUACUUCAUACAAAUGAAAAUAAAACAAAAAGAUAAAUAUCUAAUUUUUUAAUUAAUAUGUUAUGUUUUCAUUGAUGUAAUGCAUGAUUUGGGACAUAAUUUAGAUUUAGGAGAAUAUAUCUCUUAACAUUCUAUAUUGGACAAAGAUCUUCUGUCGUAAAAAAAAACAUACCUAUAUAUAUCUAGCUAAUCAAAUUUCAUAAAAUAAUAUAAAAUAUUAAUUUUUGUUAUUUCAAUUUUUAUAUUUAAUUAAAUUAGUUUUUCCAAUUACGUGGAUACGAAGGUGAGAUAGAAAUGAGGAUUUGUGAUCCUCUCUAUGGAUAUUAGCAUAGUUUUGUUUACGUGGCAAAGAGUUAAUGCCACAUGGGGACUAAACUAUUUCGAGUUAUGGAUUCAACGACCUGUACUUUAUUUUCUAUUCAAUUUAAGUGCCAACUUCUAUAAUUAGACUAGGUUUUUUUGGUACAAAGUAUACAAUGUUAAGCGAGCUUAGAUUAUUCUAUGAGGAUUAUGAUGUUUUCUUUUUAGUAGAUUUGUAUUUUACCCGUUAUAAAACUUCUAAAAAUGUUUGUCUUAUCUUCUUGACAUGUGUAAAUUGGUACAAGAAAGAGAUAAAUGAUACAUGUCAUUUUUUUAUACAACCAAAGAUUUUCACCUUAUGGAUUAGAAACUAAUCUAUUUUGAGUUCAUGAUUACUCUUUCUAACAAGUAUCAUUUACAAAAAUUGAACUUUUAAUUUUUUGAUCAUCUUAAUUAAAAAUUUAAGGAGUCUUACAAAUAUAAGGAUGAAAGUUUAUCUUUUGGUACAUGUGUUGGUAUUUUGAUUUGGAUGAAAAUUAUUUAUAGUUUCAUUCUAUUUAAUCGAAAGUAUCAAUUUUAAUAUGAUUUAAUCAAAAAAGUACUCGCCAGUUGAUUUUUUAUUUUAUUUUUUAACAUCAAGUCAUCUAUAGAAUGAAAGUAACAAAUAAAACUUCAAUUAAUAAUAUAUAUAUAUAUAAUAGGAUUGUAAAAAUGUUAAUUUAAGAUAAAUGUUUUUGACGUAUAAUAUCUAUACUAUAUAUAAAGCCAAAACUUAAAAUAAUUUUCCUGAUAGUGUAAUUUUUAUUUCCUAUAUUGCCCUUAACAUUAUUUAAUUUUUACAAAAAAACUAUAUAAUCUUAAGCAACUACCACCAAUACAUUAAUUAACCACAUAUCUCACCUUAAAUUAAACAUUAUCAUAAACAUACAAAAAUAUAAUAUAAAGUACACCGAACACAACAAAUACAUUUUAAUUCAAAAAAAUAAAAUAUAUAAAAAUUGAAUAUGUAGUAUCACACAAUAUUCGCCGACAGACACGAAGUACAUAUACAUACUAGUAUAUAUAAUAUAGUAGUAAAUAAACAUAUAAAUGUAACAUAUACACGAUUUGGUUUCAUCUAAUAAAAUAAAUUUAAAAUGUGAUCCAAUUGAUCGAUUUGGUUUGAUUGUUUUUCAUUUGUUUGUAUAAUAUUAAUACACUAACUAUCAGAGUGAGACCAAAUAUUAUUUAGCUCCCUAGCUAUAAGAAAUAAAUACAACAUUAUUAAUUAAAUUAGUAUAUACAUUGAAAAUUGGAUGAAGGUGACUCAAACGGCUCUCGAAGCUUAUAAGCUGAAACAAUCCUUCAUUAAUAUAUAUAUACAGUGGCGGAGCUUCUCAGUGGCCCUAGUUUUUUCAAUUUUUAUUAACAUAUUAAACUUGUUUAAUUUAUUAAAAUAAAAAUGAUAUUUUUUUUUUACAAAUCCGCUAUAUCAUAAGAAAUGUAACAAGUAGUAGAAUGUAUUACAAAAUAUACUAAUGAUAAAUUUACAUGAAAUAACGAAAUUUUUUAUAUCUAUUUCAGUCAUCAAUGAGUUUAAAUAAAAAACAACACUUUAAAUGAAUAUGUAUUAUAAUUUUUUAACAUAUUUAGUUAUUAAAAUGUUAUUUAGAAUUAACAUGUUGUUUUGAAACUCUUAAAUAAUUAUAUAUAUUUUAUUGUUACUUGAUUAAUUUUAAUUAUAAAAUUAUAAUUAAAUAUUGUCGUCCCCUCUAAACUUUAUUUCAAGAUCUACCAUUAUAUAUAUUAUGCUAGUAAGUUAUGCUGUGCAUGCAUGCAUGCCUUAUUAGUUUUAUAGACUCUUUUAUUGUUUUAUUCAAUUGCAGCAUGCUUAGGGGCAGUGCAACAGCAGAUACAAAAUGAUGGAAAUGACACACAAACUAAUAGUCAUGAUCAUAUCAUAUAAAAUAAGCGAUAAUUUUCAGGUUAACAUCAGAUAUAAUCGUCGCAUAAAUUGAGUUCCGUGUCGUUAAACAAAAAUGUAUAUAAAUUACAUAGCCGACUAUUAUGAAGAGAUAUAGUUUUAUAGCUAGAGAACUGUCUGCAAACUAAGCUGUCUCAUGUAAAACAAUUAUGCUAAAGAUUCUCAUACCAUGAGUCCAUGAUUGAAAGAGGAAUUAUCUUAAUAAAUCUAUGUUUGUCUUUAUAUUGAGAAGCAUAUAAAUAAUUAGAAAAGGGUUUUAUGCGUUUCUUAAUGAAUUAUGUGAUAUACAUGUUCAAACAAAACAAAAAACAAUAAAAAAAAUGAAACUUGUUUAACAAUUAUUUGAGUUACUGGUAGAUUGUUCUUUAGGAAAAUCAAAACAGAUGUAUGAAGUGACCUGACUCGAUAAACUAUGCUAAGAUUCAGAAAAAGUCAAGGCAAGCUUGUAAUAGCAAUGGUAGUUAUAGUAAGUUAAUAAUGCCAUUAUUACCUUUUCUUUAGUUUCUGUAAUAAAGUGAAGGGAACAACCAAAUUGGUUAUGGAGCUUCAAGUUCAAUGAGGAAUUUUAGAGAGAAAAGGUUUAUGAAUAUUGAGAUUCAUUCCAUUGAAUGGAUGAAUGAUGAUUCCAAUAUUGAGAAUCCUUUACACACACAAUGAAAACAGUAAGCUAGAACUACUAAAAGGAAGAUCGCAUAAUGUUGGUGCAGCGGAAGCGAUCGUUGCACAACGUUGGUCACAAACAAUCAAAUAAAGGCAUAGAAUAAAUAUAAGAGAAGAAACAAGAGAAUUUGUUAACGGGUUCAGCCAAUUGUGCCUACGUCCCCAGGAGGGCUAAGCGGCUACUAAAAUAUUAUUAGAGAAUAAAGAUUAUAAACCAUAGCACACUCAUGGGCCCACCUGCCCAUGAGGUGUUUUCUAGUUGGUGUUUACAUCUGGUGCACAUUACAACAAGAGAUCUGAGUCCAAUAUAUAACAUUGAUAUUCUACUCUCUAUUCUGAUACUAGACAUUGUUGGACUAAUACAAUAAUAACAUAUUUCAAACAUCCCAGAACCCAAUAACUUUGUGAUAAAUGAUAUAUGAAGAUUGCUUAAUAACUUUGUGGCUCUGUUGCAUAGUGCUGAGAUUACUAAACUUUGACAAUGUAUCAUAUCACUAUAUAAUCUUAAUUUUUUUUUAAGAAGGCAUUUUCACAAAUUACUUAGUUUUUAUGGCAAAGUUAUUGUGGUAAUAAGGGUUAACUCUUAGACUCUUCUUACUAUCAAUUUUAAACGAAUACAUAGAGAAAUGAAUUUUUGUUUUUGUUUUCAAUGAAUAAGUAUAUAUUUUUACUGGUACAGUCAGAAAAGAAAACAAACAUCUAAGGCCUAAGAUAACAGUUUCCCUUGGCAUAAGCUAACUACAAUCACACAUAUUACAUGGCUUAAAAGAUAUAGCUCUACAUAAUUUCAUUUAUAUAUAUCUAGUUUUCUUGUGAGGCAAACUUUUACUUAAAGCACAAAAUCACAUAAUUGAUACUAUAUCACAAUCACAUAUUUUCAGUUAAUAUUUGUUGGAUCUGACCUAUACGUAGGAUACGUAGGAGUGUCCAACUGAGAAAUUUCAUUAUUAUUAGAGUAUGAGAAAAAUGAAUAGUUAUAAAUAAAACACUAUGUUUUGAACCAAAACCUUAAGGUAAUAAUUUUAUGUGCAUUUUUUAUUUAUAAACUCUUUUAUUUAUCGUUUUAUAUCUAAGGUGAGACUUUACACUUGAAUAAACUCAAGAAUAUUAAUAGAAAAUUAAGACAAUAAUCACAUUAACUAAAAAUAUUCUUACCUGAGUUAAAGAAUGCAAUCACAUAUGGGGCAUAAAUUGCCCAUCGAUCAAAAGUUACAAAGAUUUUUAUUUUUUAAUUGCCCUCUUCCCAUUAGAAUAUCUAAAAUACAAACAUCCGAAAUUAAAAAAAUAAAAUAAAAAGGCUUUCUCUCUAUUACUUGGGCUUGUGUAAAUAUAGAUUCAAGCAAUCUUAUCCUUCAGUUGCAGCACUUGCAGCACUCAGGUCCACAGAAAGAUCAAGAGCCUGAUACAAAGAGCCCAAAGGAAAUAAUGAACAAUAAUUAUAAUUGGAUUAUUGGAGCAUAAUGUUAUCAGAUGGUAAAUCAAAUUAUCACAUUCUCUAAUGAAGAAAUAUAAAUGCUAUAUUUUCAGGAAAUAAUUUUGGUAUAAAUUUUGCUUGAAAAAAAGAGAUAUGCUUAUUUCUUUGCUGUAUCUACCAAAUGCAGGGGGCAUUCUAUCCUUAAAAUAUAUUUAUGUUUUGUAAUUCUGUGAUAGACAAUGAAUUGCAUGUAUGCUUUUUUCUAAAUAAAAGAUACCAUUAACCAAUAAAAUGAAAUUGAGAUGGAAAAUGAAAUUUCAAUAGUAUAUUAUGAUAUUAUUACCUUUCCUGUGAUCUUACUGUACAUUUCAAUCACAUCUGUUACUGUGGUUUCAAAGUGUGUGGUAGCAUCAUAGCUCUGUAAGGAUUUAAUUACAUUUUAGUACAACUGAUAUUCCAAGAUAAAAAAGAAUAAGGAAAGAGAACACAUUAUAUAGGCUGAAGAUAUCAAUCAUAUCAUAUCUAUCAUGAAGGAAACCAAAGACAAAAUCAUUCCAUAAAUAACUUAAAAUAGCAGUCAAUAUUAUUGGUUCCAAUUGUGAAAAUUCCAUAACAUGAUAAAUUAAUUACUUCACUUAGACCAUAAGGAUAUUUGAUUCUCUAUGUCCUGUCACAGUGGUUAGGAAAAAAGUGCUAGAAUAAAUCUGAGAGAUUCUACUAAGUACUUACUUUAGAGAUGAAACAACCAUCAACUUGAUGAUCAUUGGUGGGUUCCAAUCUGUCAUACAUGUCAUAGAAUAUCUCAUCAACAGGGCCAAGAAGGUCAAUACCAGGCUUCAAUUCUGACUCAGGUUGGUCAGUUUCUGCUUCUGAUGUAACAAAAGCAAUAUAUUUUCCUUUGGGUGCAACAUUGUGAGCAUAAGAGCAGCAGAAAAGAUACCUGCAGUGACAAGGUGAAUCAGGAACAAAACCUAUGAAGUUAGAAGUAAAAGUAAUCACUAUCAAAAUCCACUCUUUCACUCUUAUUUAAUUUAUAGCUUGCCAUUUAAAUCACUAUAUUGUAUGGUUUAUCAGUAGUUCUUCACUAUUAACAUUUAUAGGUGACAAUGGAAUGAAACAUUAGUUUGCCAUUUUGAAUCACUAUAUUGCAAUUACAACCUAUUUGCCAUAUUAAGUAACAUUAGUUUUCAGUUACAAAUACUAACUUUAUGGUAUUACAAAGUUCAAUAGCCAUGCAUGUAGAGUAUGGUCCUACUAGGAUUUCAAUGUUCUUUCCUGAAGUACAUGAAUAUUAUACCACUGUAGUUGAUUAAAGCAAACUUACAUAUCAGAUUUACGACCAAGUUGCUUCUGUGGCAGAAUGACUUGUGCUGAGUGAGAAUCAUUAGUGUCUGGAAUAGGAUGGCUCAUAAUACAUAUUGCACGUGCAACUUUUCCCACCUUUCUAACCUGUUAGAUCAAUUAAUUAGUGCCAUUUGAAGAUCACAUGUUUAGACUAAAAUUUCCCACAGCAAAAUAAAAUACUUCGAAGAAUGUAGCUCCCUAUCAUACUGAGAAGUGUAGCUUUUGUUUUUAGUUUUGCUAAACAUUGCCAAGGGAAAUGGUAAAGGAACCAAAAAAUGCCAAGUCCACAGUGGGAAAUGAUGUAUUUAACAUAAUAAGACUAACAUUUUUACUUUUCCAACAUUGACUUCACACUUAUGUUUCCUUAACUGUUAUAAAAUAUUACACACACAUAUAAAACAAUUGUCAAAAAUAUGUAAAAGUCCCACUUUGGAUCUGUCCCUGUAUGCACCCUUAGAAAUCUGACAGAAGAUACCUUGUCAGGAAGAUAUGAUGGAUCACACACAACUUUCUUGCAUUUGGCUGUUUCUCCUUCAGAGGUCACACCAAUGGCUUUUCCAUCACCAUCAAACUCUACCUAUGUACCACAAGAUAAAAUGUGAAGAAUGAAAUCAAGACAGAGUAGCUAGGAAGGGAAGAAUAAUGUUCAUUAAGAUGGCUCCAAAUUCAAUUUAAUUCUCUUGAUAAAUUCAACCUUUCCUUCCACAAGUUGUAGUAUAUAAUUUUCCAGAAUAUAAAAGUAUGGUUAUGAACUUACCUUGCAUUCUGGCUUGUUGAGCAUGUAAGUUCCACCAUACACUGCACUCAAUCGCGCAAACGCCUUCGAGCCAUCGAAGGAAUAAAAGUUAGUUCCGGAAACAUACCAAGUUUAAGAAGGAAGAGGGAUAUGGAGAACCUGAGGCAACUCUCCUAGUCCAUAUAGUGGAUAUAUGUAAGGUGAACCUCCUUGGAAACGUGCUAGAGAUUCUGCAUAAAGCUGUACAAAACAUACAUGUUACAUACAUGUUUCAUGUUUGGAAGGUUUACCUAGUGAUUAUAUAUGCAUGCAAAAUCAACUGAAGGUUGAACACAAAUUCCUAUGAAAGAGAAACAUAAGUAGCCUAAGGUAUCAUGGUGAUAUAAUUUUGCAAUUUACAUCUCAAUAGCUAUGCAAUUCUAUUCUUUUCAUGCAUUUGUAAAUUAGUACCUUCAUUUUCUCUACAAAUUCCUUGGCAGGCUCAUCCAAGUAAUUAUCAUCCAGAUGAAGUGCCAAGGCGUGCCCAAUAAAGUCAAUUGUAUCAUCUUCCAACCCAUAUUUCCUACAUUUGAAGCAGCCAUUAAAAAUUGAGCAAAGUAGAUUGAAUCAAAGUAUUAUAUGCACCUUACUACAAGAACAAUAGUUCACUAGAGUAACAACAUGCUGCAAACUCUAAAAUAAUGACAUACACUUAAUGAAAUAAUCACAAUAUUGUAAGUCAUUUAUCUUAAUAAGGUUUCACCUUAGUUUGUCCUAUAUAGUUCAUAUUAAGGAAGAAAAUGCUUCUUCUUAAAUAAAAAAACAAGUCAUGUCAGAUUUAAAGCAAAAUCAUGCAAAUAAGAUAUAUUAUCAUACGAUAUCAGUUGCCUUGCUGUAACUUGGUUCAAAUCUAGUCCUUCUUGAGAUUUGGGAUCACUUGCUUCAUAAUCUUGGACAUAAAUGAAGAACUUUCGAGCACGACGCUUCUCAAAUAGUCCCAUUAAAGGUGAUUUCAGCGCUUCAACAUCUGUUGCUGGAACUUUGUAAAUCUUUAAAAAAAAUUAGAAUUAUGUUACAAGGUUUUUCUCAACAUGCAAGAACUUCCAUAUGGUGAACAUUGCAAGAACUUCCUUAAGAUUCAACAUCUGUUAUAACAAAAGUGUCAACUGUGAAGAAUAUGGUGAAUAUAUAACAUAUAUACCUUUCCCUUAUUAUACACAAAACUUCCAUCUACAGCCUUGAAGUUUAAAUACUUUGUAACAUCUGUGUGGAUUAGAACACGGACCAAACCUCCAUUGGCCAUCAUAAACUACCAUAAAACAGAUGAAAAAGUUGGUUUUUGUCAUAAAUGAAUAACAGUGGACACAUAUAAGCAGAUAUUACAAUCCACUUGAUGCCUCUCUAGUAAGGGUAUAUUUGUGAGUUUGAGUUUUGGAGAGUGAAAAAUGAAAAAAAGGAAAGCUGUAGGGCAUCUCCCAAGUGUAGCUGCAGGACAUCUCCCAAGUGUAGCUGCAGGACAUCUCACAAGUGUAGCUACAGGGCAUCUCACAAGUGUAUUUCACAGCGCUGAAGAUUUCUAUUUCGCUUCAUUCCCCUCCAAAACUCAACUCGCAAAUAGAGCUUAAGAGUUUGAAAUAUCCUCAUUAAUAAAAAUUGUCUUGUCAAAAUAAAUAAAAAGGCAUGUAGAAUAGAAACUAAAGUAAACUGCAAUGGUUUUUCACAAUAAAGAUUGUAGAGAGACACAUGAUAAAUAAAUGCCUCAACACUUCAACUAUAAAUGAAGGUAACAAUAUAAACAGGAGAGUAGGUACCUUAGGUAUCAUAUCAACAUUGAACUCCCUGCUUGAGCCUAAGUUCUCUGGUGGCUUAUCUUCUCCCUUAAAUCGCUUCCACAGCUGUAUAAAAAAAUGAGUUUAACGUGAAAAAAGAAAACCAAACACGAUAUUAGAAUGAGAUAUUUUAUAUGCUUAUAUUACAACCUGUGUAAGAUUAAGAGAUGAAGAUGCUCCACCAUAAUAGUCAUUUCUGUCCAUGUGCAGCACCUGAUUCAAGUUGAUAGGAAUAAAAGCAAGAGGAAGAACCAACACUAUGAGUAUGUUUUCAAUGCAAAAGAUGCAGUGAUUUAAGGGAUCAUAAAUCAUAAAUCACUAUUGCUUCAUAUACUAACAGUAGGAUCAUACAUUGUAUAUUAAUAAUCUUUCUUCAAACACAAUCAAAUCACUAUUGGAACACAAAUAUACAAUCUUAUCAUUUCCCUUUCUCUUUAUCAUGUGAGCAAAUUUGAGUAAUAUGAGCCAUAAAAUUAUAUUUCAUGAAAAAUAGUUUCUAUUCUACAUUGUUAUUUUCUUGUAUAUCAUCAAUUUGAACAUGAAAUCUAACUUUAAAAAGGUAUGGUGGCUCCCACUUAGUGGGAUUUCGGGAGAGAUUUGUAUGCAAUUUUAACCAUGCAAGUUGAUAGACUAUUUCUAAGAUUUGAAUCAAUAAGCUCGUGAUCAUCCAUUAUCAAACUUAUUGUUGCACCAAACUUACCCAACCUAACUUUAAAAUAAAUAAAAAAUGUACAAGAAAGAAACAAAAGGAAAAUCAAAUAUGCAAUAUAAAGAAGGUGAGAGAAAUAGAGGAAUUAUUACUUUGAGGCCAUCAACAGAGAGAAGGCCACUAAGGAUGCAUUCUUUGAGCCCAGUGCCCAAGACAAUUACAUCAUACUCUUCAUCCAUGGGAGGAUUGAAUUAUAGAAAAUAAAUAAAAAUGAAAAUGAUUCAAAUGCAAAAGACAAAAGAGAAAGAGAGAAAACAUAAAAUGGUUGUUGAUGAAGGUUGUGUAAGAGAGAUAUUUAAAGCAGAACAAGUCUUUAGGGUGCAUGUAAUUAACGACACUAACGCUAGUCCCCCAAAAUAACUCCUCUUAUCAUGCACCCACGUGUUUUUUCUCUUCUUCGUGCUUCAUAAAAAUAAGAAGAAACUACUAUUUAGUCCAUGAAAGACAUGAGCUGCAAACUACUUUAUUUAUAAUAUACGAAUGAUACAAAAUUAGUAAGACAUUAGAAUUAAAUCAUUUUAUUAGUUUUUGAAUCAUUUAUUGGUAAUCGUUUAGGAAAAGAUUGUUGGUUGUUGAUUUAUUGUGCAUUGCGUUUUCAAUUGUUUCCUUUUUUUUUGUUAUUGUUGUUUCUUAUUUUAAUUUGUUUGUUAUUGAUCAAUAAACAAUUCGAGCUAUUCAAGAUCAAUAAACAAUCCUGGGACCAUUUUAUUUGUCAAAGUAUUAGAAUUGAGGGGAUUUAAUGUAUAGUGGAAACUCAGGUUAUCAUCACCUUAGUUAUUGCUCAAAGUUGCUAAAACAAUAAUCUCUUAUAAACAGCAAAAGAAACAUAAAAUACAGAGAAAAUUAUAAAGUUUUUAUGAUAAUAAACUAUAUAGACACCACAUAAUCAUCUACUCAUUAUUAUAUGAACACUUUCUAAGAAUCAAUUUGGCAAAAGAAAAUAGAACAAUAUGAAUUCAAGUACAACUCCACCACCUGCAGGGUCCUCUCAUACCCUUCUUAUUUUACACAAGUUAUUUUCAAACAGCAACACCUGGAAUGAAUUUUGAUGACAGAGGAAAGGAAGGAGGCCAAUCUGUUCUUCUCCUUAGUUCUUUUAAAGUCUUAAUUAAUCAACAUUGUCUCUUUAUUUAAGUAAUGAUGGUAACCUGCAAAACAUAGAUAGGCUUUCAACAACUAUAAAAUAUAACAGAAUCAUUCACCAUCUUUAUAACGAUGCAAUCAUGUAAUAUAAUAAGUUCAAUAUAGUACAUAAGUUAAUAGACUAAUGUUUUGAAUUGAGCUUUCUUCAUAUGCUAACACCUUUUACCCACAUCUUAAGAAACCACAAAACUAUGUAUUAAUAUGUAUUGAAAAAUGGUUUUUUUAUAGUUAGGUUUUCUUUUUUUAUCAGCGAAAAGAUUUUUUUUAUUAAAGUAUCAAAUGUACAAGAAAUAUAAGAGGAUUUUAAUAAAACAUAUAAGUGCAACUAUAGACAAAAUUAAAUAGAAUUAGAUUUCAGAUUGUCAAAUUUUCUACGGGAGGGGAAAAGUGCAACAACUAUGGUUUGGAUACAUGUUUAAUGUUCGAGAGCUCAAUGAAUUAUGUAUGAAGUUUUAGUUUAUGUAUUAAUAAUUAAUAAUAAAAGCAUAAUUAAAUAUAUAUGUUUGUUUUGGUGAAGUUAAAACAUUAUAUUUUACUCGUUAGCAUUACUUUGGCAAGACUUGAUUAUGAAUAUUUUCCUUUUUGAUUUUAAAAAAGUUCAAUAUAUCAUUAGUAACUUAAAGAAUGCUUCUUUUCCGUUUCUCAUACACAAAGAUUGUAAAAUAAUCAGUGAGGUAGAAAGGUGGUGUUAAAUAACUCAAGUUCAAUGAUCAUUACUUGGUCUUAAUAUAUAAGGGUUGAUGAAAAUAAGUUAAGUGUUACAAAUCCCUCAUUUCCCUAUACUCAUCUUGAACAACACUGAAUUAAACCUUUUCAUUUCUUUCGGUGUUUUAUACAUACUAUUCCAUACAAAGAGAGUAAAGUGAUCUAACUCCAAUUUUAGAGAUGUGUCACGGCCAUCAUCUUCAGGAAGAUAUGAACUGUGAAUAUUGAAUUCAAAAGAUUGCCUUUGUCCAUGCAUAAGGCUCGGUACCUACAAGUCCAUAUAUUACAUUAUGAUACUGAGAAUGAUUAAAUAAGCAAAAGUUUGAUAAGUGUAUCAUACCUGUUUUAACUUUUGGUUUUCUUCCAUUAGUUCAAAUAAUUCCUGCAAUGGGUAAUGUAAUUUCCAGAGGAUGUUCACAACCUUAGCUGAUUAUCACAAGGUGACGUUACAGUUGCAGGCAAGGGAUCUAGGUUUAAUCCCAUGAGACAAAUGACUAAAACACUGCUAACGUAAUAGGGCAUAACUAACCUUUAGUUUUGAAACAUUGAUCAAACCUAUGUUAAGUAGUUCCUCUAGUCUUUGAAGUUCCUGUAAUUUCAGUCCAUGCAGCUCUUGCCCAUUCAACUGUCUGUGAUAAAGGUUGAACAACCUCUCAGUGAUACAUAUAUAUAUAUAUAUAUAUAUAUAUAUAUAUAUAAAUUUGUGUGGUGCAUUCAUCUUAUUUAGGUAAAAAGUUACUAGCUCUGUGUCUGAGUAUAUACCUCAGUUCAUGGGUCUUAUAUUCUACUUUCUGGCGCAGCAUAUUGUUGGAGUCACUCUGAACCUGUGCAUAAAUUAGCACAAAUAUUUGCCUUUCAUAAUUUUCCAUCUUUGUGACAAAUGAUCUUAAAAGAAAUCACAAAGGCAAUUCACAUAAUACUAUUUUAUUACAAAGUGUUGUCAAUGUAAUUAGAAAUACAGCUUCAAUUAUCUAGAUGUGAUAGUGAGAAAAUUGAUUAAAAAAAGUGGGAAUCAUGAUGUAAAAUCAAUGGAAGCAUGAAUGGACUGUUUCAUAAAUCACAUCAGAGAUUAACCUGCAGAACUCCUUUUCUUUGCUUCUUGAGUUUUAAAGGUAAAACUUUAAUCUCACUGUAAUAAUUAAAAGAAACAUAAGUGUUCUUUCAUUUUGUUUUUUCCUUAUCACUGGGGAGGAGUCUGAUUCCAUUUUUCCCAUAUUCGUGUGUCAAAGAAUUAGCUUUCUUAAUCAAAUAUUAUAAAUUCCAGGAUUAAAAGAAACGUCAUCAGAAUUCACCAUUUAAAUAACCAGCUACAAUAAAUAUUUGAAGUUAUUAUAUACCUGCAGCUCAAUAGAUGGGGCAUUUGGUUUAUGAAUUGCUGAAUGCCGAUCACGCCUUUCAAUCACGUGUUGCAUACUGGAAACAACAAACAUUACAUAGGUUCAAGAUAAUCUGUUUUCCUUCGAAUUUGAAUCACAUGAAAGUUAAAACUUCAUAUUUGUUGAAAAGUGAUACGUACUAAAGAUUUCAAAAACAUGUACACAUUACAUUCAGCAACAAAGAAAUAUAGAUAUUAAAAAAAUUACAAAAUUAUGUCAGCUCAAUAGAAGGUACGAAACAAGGAUGCAAAAAGCAUCUAGAAUUGCUGAAAGAAACAAGUCACAAAUUAGAAACUACGAGAGGGUUGUCGGUUUUGAAAUAUGUCAAUAAAACUUAGGUGAUCUAAAAAAUAUUUUUAUACAUAGGAAAUUGCAUCUUUGUGAUGCGUGUGGUGUCUACCUCCAACCCACCAAGUAUGAGAGUCUACCAACUUAUCAAACAUGUCUUCUGUUGGGUGUUUAAGUGUGACUGAUAUGGUGAAGAACUUUCCACCCCGGAUUGGAAUGUAUAAUUUGAGUACAUACCGAAACAUCCAAAACUUGAAUUUCGAGGUGACAAAUAUCUAGAGAUUAGUUAUGGACAAAUUUGGUGUCUAUUUGGAAUAUAAAUAAUAUUUCGAAGUCAACAGCGAAAUCAGAAUUCGAUUCCGAGUUACGGAACUCAAAAACUGAGCAAAAACUCGAUAAAACGACCCGAAAUUGUCUCGGAAACUUUUAUUUUCCAAAAAUCUUGAAAAAAUAGGGCAAGCAAGAAAAUAAUAAUACAAGACUAAAACUCAAUUGAGAUUUAGCCUAAAAUAUUACUGAUUUAUUUUGUAUAAUUAAUCCAUUAAUAUUAAUUACUUAAUUAAAAGUACUCAGAAAAACACGAUGUUACACCGAGCUUAGAACAUGUACCUUAAUGUGAGGUAUUUGGUAAUGAAAAUGUUCAUCAAAUCACUAAUAACUGUUGGAUUAUAUUUGCAUCGACCUAUUUUCAGUCAUGAUCAAUUAUAGUAAUAUAGUCUUUUCUAGAAUUUAGAGCAUGUAUUUUCUAGAGUUUAGAGCAUGUAGUAUUGGAAAAUACUUAAUACUACAACUAUUGUAAUCUUUAAGGAGAUAUUCCAAAAUAUAUAACAAGUACAUCAAACAUCAAGUUCCAAAAUACUUUAGUGAUGUAUUUUUCAUUUCUCUUAAUUGUGUUAAUUUCAAUGUACAUUUAUGAUUCCAUAUAUAACAUGAUAUUUGAUUAUAAAUAUACUAUAAUCCUUACAUUAUUAAAUGAAUAUAAGACUUUUUGUACCUUUAUUUCAGUUUUUGAAAGUUUCAACUUACAUAUGACUAAUAUAUAAUGGUUUCAUUACUUAUUUAGUCAUCUUAUUCUGGGUAUAUUUCCUACAAGUGACUAUCAUGUAAAUUCAUACUAAAUGAAUGUUUUUAUAGUACUUGCAACAUUCAAAGAAAGAAUGUACUUCUUAUGUACAUUCAAUGCUAUAUAUUUGUGUUUUCAACAUUAAUUUAUUCCUAUGUGCUUUUGUACAUGCGUCAAAAGGAAUGUGAUCUACCAAACGCAUGGGUAUGUUACUAAUAAUAUUGAUAUAAAUAUGUAUGGCGAGGAUCCUAGAUAUAGGAUGGGAUGAGAGAUAAUAUUAGAUGUGAUCAAUAAUAUGAUUUAAAGUGAAUAGAGAUAGGAAGUGGUGUAAGGUAUAAAAGGUGAAGUAAGAUUGGCAAACAAAUUCUCUAUCAUUGGCAAUGGAUAUGAAAGUUAGUAACAACUUGAAAUUUCUUUCUCCUUCCAUCAAAUUCCCAUUAUAUCAACAAGUUAUGGCGGUUGGGAUACACCUCCUCCACGGUGGUUCAUGUGCAAUAUGGAUGGCAUGGUUAGGAAGACUAGUAGCUUUAGCUGUGAUGGAGUGUGUAGAGAUAAUUUGGGAAAUUGGUUAUUUGGCAUUUGUAAAAACUUGGGAAUAUUUAUUAUACUUUGGGUUGAACUUUGGGGUAUGUAUUCAAUGCUAACUCUAGUUUGGAGUAAAGGUUUGGCGAAUAUAAUUCUUGAAAGUGAUUCGCAGGGACAAUCAACUUAAUUACAAAUAGUUUUGAUUAAUUUCAUCCUUAUGCACCUUUGGUGAAAGCUAUUAGAAGCUGGUUAGAAAGAGUUGGACAAUUCAAUGUAGUCACAUUCACAAAAAUUCUGGCAAAUAUAUCUCAUAUUCCUUCACUUAAAUAUAGAAAUUUGAAUCUGUUUGAUUUCACAAGAAGAUAGUUAAGCUCCAAAUAACCAAAAAAAAGGUGAAGUAAGACAAGAAGUUGUAGGAUAUAGAACUUCCACUCGCAAUGGAUAAAAAAGUGGCAAAGACACUUAAAUAUAGACAAUGAUUAAAUUACAUGACAUGGGAGAGACACUCUAUAUAAAUAAAAAAUAUUUAUACACAUGUAUGUAUAGUAUAAGAAUAUAAUUAAAUAUGAACUUGAAAUUUUCUUAAAGUGAAAGUCAAUAUUCAUGUAUUUUCCUAUGUUCACAAUAAAAUAUUAAGAAACAUCACUUUACAACAUGAGCAUUUGUCUAUUUACAAAAAUUGUAUAAACAAUAAAUUAACUAUUUUUAUUUUGGUUAAAAUUGUCUCUCAUUCUUGAUCACAUUAUUAAAGUAAUAUAGCAUUUAGCUAAGAUUCAUCAAAUUAGAACUUCAAAAUCAAUUAUACAAACUCAACUCAUGUUAUAUUUCACAUUUUAAUUUCAUCUUUAUCCAAAUUUGUCACAUAUUUAAUGUUUUUUCUGCAAAGAUCCAGACACAUGCCCAGAAUGCAUCCAACUUAAUUUUAAAUAUCAACUAUAUACUGGAAAUGUGUCAACUAGAUCUCAGAACAGAUAAAAAUAAUAAUUUCAAAUUUCCCACAUGAGAUAGCACACAUUUAAUGGCAAAUGACAUCGUUAAAAAUUUGGAUUGGAGUGCGUAAUAAUAAUACUUGUUCGACAUAAUUUAAAUCCUUUACUUAAUAAGAAAUAAGAAAAGUUACAAAAAUUAAUUAAAGUCAUAACAAAAUUCAUUACCCUAGCCCAUAGAUUCGAUGAAAGAGCAUCUCAAUUUUCGGAGAGAUAAUUUGUUAUGUUCCAAUUUUUGUUCGGAUCUAACAAUAAAAUAUCACUUAAUUAAAAAAAAUCGAAAAUAAUAUUUUUAUAUUAUUUAUAGAAAAUAAAUUUGUUGGGACAUAAUUAGUACACUUUCAUCAACUAAUCUUAUUUCUUAUUAUGCUCAACUAUCUGUUAUCCCAAAAUCCAUCUUACAGUAAUAAAAAAUAUGUUAUAUCAAUUUAAAAAUAAAAUUAAAUAUAUAUUUUUUUUUGUUAUUAAUUAAUGUCUCACAACUCAAAAGAGUACUUACCUCUCCUUCAACUUACAACACAAAACUCCUCCGAACUUAUUAUAACCAUUUUACCAGUCUCCCAAACAUUAACUUGAAGCUUCUUAUCUCCGACCUCAACUUCGCGUCCCUUUCGUCAAUUCACACUCUAACAACCACCAUGGACGAUGGCGGAAGCAGAGCCGAAGCGGAGCGAUGGCUCUACACAGCGAACAAGCUUCUAAGCGCACGUGACUUGCACGGGGCACGCUCCUUCGCUCUCCGCGCCCGCGAAUCCGACCAGACUUUGGACGCGUCGGAGCUUCUCCUUACGGUUAUCGACACCGUCCUAGCCGGCGAGACUCGUAUCAACGACCACCACUGCGACUGGUACGGGAUCCUCCAGAUCCAUCGCUACACCACCAACAUCGACCACAUCGCCGCCCAGUACCGCCGCCUCGCUCUCCUACUUGACUCUAACCGCAACCCCUUUGCCUUCUCCGGCCACGCCUUCUCUCUCGUCCACGACGCAUGGUCCGUCCUCUCCAACCCAGUCAAUAAGUCCAUGUACGACAACGACCUCCGGUUACUCACUUCGCAACCACCUCCGCCACAGCAACCACAACCUCCGCCUCCCCUGCCGCAGCCUCAGCCGCAACUAAAGAAAAACCCUAGAUCUAAAAAUGUUUCGACUGAACCGGCUCAAGCCAGGACCGAGCCGAAUGAGUCGACUCAGAUUGAGUCAGAGGAAGCGAGUUUUUGGACAUCGUGUCCGUACUGCUAUGUUAUGUAUGAGUACCCGAAGGUGUACGAAGAGUGUACCUUGCGGUGCCGGAGCUGUAGAAGAGGGUUUCACGCUGUAGUGAUUCGAUCGCCACCGUUGAAUGGGUUAGAUGAAUCCUUUUGCAGUUGGGGAUAUUUACCGUUAGGGUUUUCCGGUGAUUCAAAAGAUGUUAAAGGAGUUGGUUCUAAUUGGAACCCAUUUUCGCCACACUUCCCUUGCUCCUUGAAAGGGGAUACGAAGAAGGAGAAAAGGGGUUGGGUUUAUCAUGAUGAAGAUGCUGCAGCCGCGUUCAUUGAGAUUUCGGAACCUAGUGAGGAUGAUUCUGAUGGAGACUGGAGGGAUGGAAAAAGGAGGAAGAGUAAGAGGACAAGGAGUUCCAGGAGGAAUUUUUUCUGAUAUUAGGGAAUGAGAAUCCGGGUAGUGGUGGUGGAGGCAGUGGAGGCGGGCGGUUGAUGUUAUUGCAUCUGCAGUGGCUGGUGGUGCAAAUGCAAGUAGGAGUACAAAGCCUGGUAUGAGAGGUUCGGUGGGUGGUCCUAGGAGGAGAGGCUCAGGGAUUAGGAUUGUAGGAUCCGUUUGCGAGUUGGGUUUUUGAGGGAAAUGGAUAGCAAAGAAGGGUUACAGAGUCAUCUAAGUGUAUUUCAUGGCUCAGUCAUCUUAUAAAUAUAUUUCAUGACUUUUAAACCUUUUAUUUUCCAUCUAAAAUCCAAUUCACAAACGAAUCUAUUUCCUCAAUAGCUUGCCCAUUCUCAAUGUUGUGAGGGAUGAUAAGGUUAAGGGUCAUUAGUCUUUUAGAUACUUGUUUUUUUCGUCCUUGAUUCUACAAUGUAGAUUGUUGUUACUUGUCUGUUUGUAUUUGUUGCACGAAGUAAAGCUGAGCUAUUUUGAAGUCUUGUCAUUGUAAAAUUUUAUAAUGGUAAACUCAAUCAGAUGAACUACUCACACACAUAACUGUUUCCAGCUUCAAUUCUUCCCAGCUACAAAAUCUAUAAAAUAUAAAUAAUCACAAACAAUUAGUCAUUCUACCUCUUUUCCCUCUUUGUAAAUUACAAAGCAGAUGAGUUGGUAAGCCUACAUUUGAAUGUUUGGGGAUAAACAAUAUAUAGUAGCCAACCACACAAAAUAUCAUUCUCAAACACAAUAUGUUGUUGAACUAACAAAAGAUUGCAAUGCUUCAUUUUGAUUCUCCAAAUUAUACAUGCCCUCCACAUCUCUCUUACUCUAUAUAUAAGAUCAAGCACCAUCUAUGUUCUCAUCAAAUCUCAAAGUUAAAUCCUUCUUUACACAUAGCUUCCAAUUAUUCUUCACUCUUCUAAUUCAUUAAACCAUGGCCUCUAGCAACUCCUUCAUCACAACCCUCUUUCUUAUUGUGGCAUUUUCUAGCAUCAACUUAACCUUAGGAACUCGCCAUCUUUUGCAAACAACACAACCAAAUUUGCCAAACAUUCCCACUUUGCCUAAUCCAACAUUACUGCCACCUUUGCCUUCAAUUCAACCAUUGCCUCAGGGCAAUAAUGUUCCCCAAUUGCCUAUAAUCCCAUCUCUGUCACAACCUACUACUCUGCCACCAUUUCCUAGUAUUCCUAUCAUUCCAAUAACACUUCCUACAUUGCCCAACUUUCCCUCAAUCCCCACCACUAUCCCCUCCAUUCCAUUUUUCUCUCCACCACCUUCAACUACUAGCCCAUAAAAAAUGUUCACUUUUUGAUCCUGUGCUUGCUAGCCACUGACUUGGUAUCUUUGCCAAGUUGCAAAUGUUGUCACCAGAGUGCAUGCCAUAGAUAUUGCAUAAUUUAUUGUGUGUCAGAGAGUUGUAUAAGGUCAUAAUCAUUGUUGUAUUUGUUGUUUGGUGUGAAGAACGUUUAUUUUUCUUUUCUAUGCUCGAGUUUGUCAUAUUGAUUGUACUCUUUACAUAUAUUAUUGAUGUUGAAUUACAUAUUUAUAUACAAUUACGAUUAUGAUGCAUUGCUUUUCCCUUUGAACUCUUGUAACAACUUAGUUAGCCCCUAUUGUUAUUUUCAAAUCAUGAAGACUGAAGAGUAGUUUACAUAUUUGAGUUAGCCCCUUUGUAACAUACUUGCAAAAUUGCAAUAACUUCAGAGCUGUCAAUGAGCUCAAUUAGUAACAUACUUAACCCAUGUAUGAUGGCAUGAGACUUCUUUAUUAUUCUUAUGGUAGAAUUUUAUUAAUUAUGUUUACCAUGGAUAACUUAUAUUACAACAACCAUUUUUUGAUGGCUAGGUAAGGACUAAGGGGACAAGGAUCCACUGUCCCAAAUUUUGUCCUAGACCAAUCAUAUUAUGUCACGUCAGUUAAAUAAAAUUAAAUAUUCAUAACUUUAUCACCAUCAAAUAGUUCUGUCUAGUAUCUUGUGUAAAUUCCUCACCUCCCUUUUAUUACUAAAUUAAAGUGUUCCACAUGUCACCUCUCCCGUGUUUCUUAAUUAAAUCUUCACUAAAUUCCAUGCUGAUCAUCUUCACUAAGUUGUCAAUUAAUAUGGCCGUGAUAUUCAUUAUUGCUUUUAUUAAAUUAUCAAUCUUUUUACACCAGAAUCGAUCACAUCACCUUAUAUGUGUGACAGAAAUUAGAGUUUAUGUAUGUAACAAAUGCUAUGGAUGACUAGUUCUGUGUGCUUUUGUGUGUACAAGAAAAUGAUAUGGAAACAUAGUCAAUGAUAAAAACUCUACAAAUAUAAGAUAUUAUGUGUGACGAAAAUUUGUUAUCUCAUUCAAUAUCACUCCAUAUAUAGACUUAUGAUUGGACAAAAAAUAUAUAUACAUCGAGGUGAUAUUUUUAUACUCCUAUCCUAUAGUAGAGAAGAUCCCCCCAAUUAUGAUAGCACUAAUCCCACAACAAGAGGAGUUGAUUUUGGAAACUUUGAGAAGAUCAACAGAUAUACACACUUCACAAAGUCAGUACGUAGUAGUAAUACUAACUGAAGCUUAAAUCUAUUUUUUUCCAGCUAAAAGAAAGGCAUGCAUAAGGCCUAAUUAUUAAUCCAUGAAUUAAGAUAAGAUACCAUAGAUGGAAAAUUUACCACGUUUAGUGUGGGUUGACUGCAAAAUUAUGGAAGUAGUGCAACUUUUAUAAAAAUGAUUAGGAAGAUUUAUUUUUUAGAGAACUCAUGAGUCUCAUACUUUACAAGAACUUGUGACUUACAUGUACGAGUUUGCAGGAACUCAUAGCUCACAUGCACGAAUUCCAUUUUUUUUUCUCUCUCAAGUGUCGUGGUUUUCAUCAUCCACGAAUCCCAUGUCCAUUCUUAAAAGUGAGUUUCUGAAAACUCAUACAUAUGAGUUAUGAGUUCCUAUAAAGUUGAAUGUGAGAGUCACGAGUUUUCAAAAAAAAAUAUUACUUUUGUAAUUUUUAUAAAAUAAAAGUUAUACUAUUUCCGUAGUCAACUGGUAAAUUUUCCGCAAUAGAUAGACACAUCCUAACAUCUGCCACGUAAUCAAUGUAUUAUUUACAUUAUUGCAGUUGAGAACAACAAUAUUAUCAUGCUUAUAGAUUCAAUAUUUUGGCCGAAUCUUCAUCUAACCUAACUAUAAUUGACUCAGUGCUACCUACCACACAAAUCAAGGGACCAAGUGAGUAAUGGUUUAAAGCCUAAACGAUGAUGCGAUCUCUACUAUCCAUUUUAUCUCAAUGGAACGCUUCAACUAGCCUCCAAAGUGCUAUGAAAACUUCGAAACACAACAACCCCACACACAAUAUAUCAACUAUCAUCUCUUUAAUAUUGGUGUGAGCCGAACCACUUACAAUUUGACAUUGCUACUACUCGUUAUAAUCGCAAGUACAAAGCAGCAAUGAAAUCUAUUAUUUGCAUCAAAUUGGAUGAAAGAAAAACAGUACUAAAUCCUGUCUCAUUUUAAAAAGAAAAAUUCUAAUAAUAUAAAAUAAGAUAUUAUUGAUUAGAGACAUCGUGACACACUCAUUUUAAAACAUGUUAUCCCUAUUCAUACUAAAAGGCAUAAGGUGGGCCUCUUUUGCAUCUAUAUCUGGGACACAGAUCACCUGUCCCAUUUUCCUGUCCCAGUCCAAUAAAAAAUUGACACUUCAUUAAAAAAGAAAAAUUUAAAACUUAAAGUAACAUAUAUGCAUUACUUUGAAAAAUUCUAUUGGCUUGGGACAUGGGGACACACUAAUUUUAGAACAGGUGAUCCCCAUUCCUAUAUCUGGAAUACAGUACUUAAAAAGAGUAAUGCACAUUGCACACCAACAUUUUACGCCAUUAAAAAUCAAAAUUUAAUGAGAUGUUGCUUCAUUAUUUAGUCUUUCUUGAAUAAAAUCAGUAACCCCAAUAAAAAUCAUAUAUCCCAAAAUAUUUUUGUUUUAAUGUCUCAAGUUAAUCAUAUUUUACUAAAUAAUAUAAAAAAUUAUUUUAUAUUUUUAUAGGAAUAUAUGAUGCUACAUGGAUAUUGGUUAUAGGAAUUUAAAUAACUACGUUUUCUUUUAAGACACUAUAUGCACGUAAAAUUUUCUUUUCUCUAUGUCUCUCACAUUAGUGGUGUGAGAGAAUCAAUGUAUACAUGUCUGGUAAAAAAGUUGAGACUAACUAUUUCAUUUAAAAACCAACUAAAAUAUUUUAAAAAUUCUAAUAAUAUGUCGUAAUUUUAUCUUUAUGGAAAUUUACUUCAAAUUCUUCAUCAUUGUUUGGCGAAUACAAUUUUUGCAACCAGAGACAACCAUCAAGUUACCCUUGUGGGAAAAUACAAUUUUCACCAACGUUUGACAUUAAGAAAAUGAUGGCUAACUGCAAAACAAAGCACCAAUAAAAUAAAAGGCAUAAAGUGGGUCACUUUUGCAUCGAUAUGAGACAUACAGGACUUAAAAAGAGUAAUGCACAACCAACAUUUGACACCAUUUAAAACCAAAUUUCGAUAUGUAAAUGCAUUAUUGAACCAUCAUUCUUUGAAAAUACUAGUGUUUCACAAAUCACAAUGCAACAAAUUAAAGAGUAUACAUUUUAAAACCGACACAAAACUAACUACAACAAAAAAAAUAUGAAAAUGUGAACUAACAUGUGUAUAAAUGUUCAUUGUAUUUUUUUCAUCAUUCUUUGACAAAAUAUUCAACAGUUUCUAAGCCUGUUGAAAAACCUGGUCUAAGGUGGACUAUAAAUAAAACCCAAUUUGUAACCACUACAAAUCAUCUUAAUUCUGCUUUUGCUUAUUAACACUCUUGGUUGUUACUCUUCUUUCUUGAGUUCAAAAAAUGGCCUCUACUCGUUUGUUUUUCUUAGCUUUCUUCAUUGCUCUAUCACUCUUCAACAUUGGCAAUGUCCAAGCCAAUAGAAAACUUUUAGCACCAACAACACCUAGUGGUUUUGGCAACAUUCCUGCGUUGAAAUUUCCUCCUUUCCCUCCAGUUACUGAGUGGCCAGAAUACAGGUUACCUCCACCAAUUUUUAACAUUCCAGAUUUCUCCUCAAUUCCAUCUUUUUUCUCCCCACCAGCUGCUACUACAACUACCAAACCUUGAGGACAAUUUGGUACAUUAAUGUUCCUGGUGGUUACAUGUAGUGUGUUCUAUAGGUUGCAUGCAUAAUGUAUUAGUAGUAAAAUAAAUCGAGGCUCGUGCAUGAGUCUUCUUAUCAUGUUUACUUUCUGUUUGGUUUCCUUAGAUUGAGUGAAUUUGCUGGCAUAGUGUUAGUCAUGGUGAGCCUUGUUAAGCUCAUGCUGUUUCUCUUUGUUUUAUUUGCAUAAUGUUCGGUGUGUGAAUGAAAAAUCUACUUUGUUUCCAAGAUUAUUAGUAAUGACUAAUGAGUGCUCCACAAAGUUGAAAAAAGCUAUGGAACAUUGGACAACAAUGGUGACAGGGUAAUGGUUAACACAAUUGCCAACAUGUCAUUCACCAUUCACAUACUAAUAAUAUACAUGAAAUGAAAUGAGGUUAAAGACUUAAAAGCAUGAAAAUUAUGUGAAAGUACAUAAUAUUAAACUCCAGUGAUAUGAAAUGAAAUAAAGGUUGAAGACUUGAAUGGAUUGGGUAUAGCUGGGAAAAAACAAGACAAAACUAAUAUAGAUAACAAGUGCAGGGAUGGCAAAAAAAACCCGUACCCGUGGGUACCCGCACGGGUACAGGUCAAAAACGGGUACCCGCGGGUAUUAUAAAUGGGUUUUUAAAAAUACCCGUAGUACAUACGGGCGGGUACGGGUAUCGGUACGGGUAUUAUGGUACCCGUACCCGCGGGUACCCGUUAUUUAGAUGAUUAAUAUAUUAUAUUUAAUUAAAAUAAAA